This 49145-nucleotide long non-coding RNA is filed under the name Citrus sinensis (sweet orange). Its description in RNAcentral is "long non-coding RNA (CSIN_LNC000660)". Lineage: Eukaryota; Viridiplantae; Streptophyta; Magnoliopsida; Sapindales; Rutaceae. The record is from RNAcentral.
UUUACAUUCAUCCUUGGCAAAAAUUAAACAUAACUAUCAUUGAAAGAACAUUCCUCCAUUGAUUCAGAAACUAACAACUCUGCUGAAGAAUCUGAUUCAAUCUCUCUUCCAGUUCCGGAGAUAUGUCGAGAAGAAGAGAAGAAAGGUCUAGGAGGCAUUUGCAAAUCGUCAAUACUCCCUUCUAGCAUCUCCAAAACUUUUGUCAUAGAGGGGCGAUCUGCUGCCUUCACCUGAAUACACCACAAACCAAUCAUACACAGUUUCCUUGCUAUCAUGGAUUCAAUUUCAGUAACAUUCUGAAGCUCUAAAUCACCUCCCUUAUUUAAUUGGUCAUAUACCCAAGAUGGGAAAUAUGCUUUGCUUGAACGAGUUGCAUUCAUAUUGGAAUUCCUUCUUCCUCCAGCCAUUUCCAACAACACCAUCCCAAAACCGUAAACAUCUGACUUGCAAGAAACAGUUCCAAAAUUCCUUGAAAUCAGCUCAGGUGCUAUGUAUCCUAUGGUUCCUCUUGUGGCACUGAUGGACACAAAAUCAUUUUCCUUGGGAUGAAACUUUGCAAGGCCGAAAUCUGAGACCUUUGGGAUGAAAUUAUGAUCUAGAAGGAUGUUGUGAGGCUUAAUGUCGAAAUGAAGAAUGCAGACAUCACAUCCGUUGUGUAAAUACUCGAUCCCACGGGCAGUUCCUAAAGCAACUUCGUGGAGUUUCUCCCAACAAAGAGAUUGGCCUCUACUCUCCUUGGGAAAGACAUGCCUAUCGAGUGAUCCAUUAGGCAUAUACUCGUAGACAAGUGCCCGUUUGGAUCCCUCGGAACAGAACCCCAAUAGCUGGACUACAUUAACGUGGUGAAUUCUACCAAUUGUUGAAACUUCAUUGAUGAAUUCCUCCGCACUGAACUUGGAGUUCUCCAGCAUCUUAACAGCAAUCAAGCCACCAGUCUGAAGCUGUCCUUUAUAAACUGAACCAAAGCCACCUUGGCCUAAUUUAUGAGUGAAGUGGUUUGUCAUGGCAAUUAUCUGAGGGUAAGAGUACCUUUUAGGCAUCCACGAUUGCUGGUUACGCAGAAAUUUCUCAAUAUUAUCAAUUGUUUUCAAUGUCGUUCUGUAUUUGUGGAUAAGGAACACAAGUAAAACUGUUGAACCAAGGAUGAACCGAGUAAUUGUAAGAUACACGAAUGCACCGUCUGGAAACAAGGAAGUUUGAUUCUAGGUAAGUAGCUGAAUUCGAAAUAACAAGAACAGGCAUUCCAGCCAGGAAACCAUACCUAACAGUAACCAUUCGAGCCUGCCGUAAAGUGGCGGGAGUUUGUAGGAAACUGCGGGCCGAGGAAAAAAGAUUAGGCUUUAUACAUACAUACUCUGAGAGAUGAUUCAGAAAAGUUAUAUAUUAAGCACAAGAUUGGAGAAUAAAUAAACAAAUCGCAUAAGGCCAUCACUUUAACACCAACAAAAACAAACGCAGGAUCUAAGAUAUGUAAGCAUAGGCUUGUUACGUGUCAAAAGUUGUUGGUAGCAAAUAAAUUUUCCGAAUACUCCUUGUGCGAUGUGGCAUCCUGCAAAGCCUGCAAAAGUGCAAAAGAUAUUAAGGGUCAAACAGGUAUACAUACUCUUUUAGAGAUUGUCCACAAAUUCUUAAAUACGUAAAAGAUUAAGAUUGAAAACAUUAAAUAAAAGAGUCUCCAUUUAUUUGUAAGCACAUAUAAGCAUAAGCUUACUGUUUGUAAUUGAGCUAGAAUCGAAGCAAUCAAUAUUUCCCGUUCUAUCUGUACUAAUGCAUUCUCUACCGGCCGCUGCAUAACAAUUCCUGCAUCCAACUGACCAUCUAAGAUCGAAUCCUGUCUCCAACAAUUCUCGGAGGGUUUCAUAAGAAGGAUUUUCCACAUUCCCAUUAUGUACAGGAACCAUUGAAACGAACGAGCAUGACUCUGAAAAAUCUGAUACAUAGGAGCCAUGGUAAUUAACAUAAACAUUUGACUGAUUUCCUCCACUCAAACAUGGAACUCUUAUAAAAGCCUGAUCAAUGAGAUCCCUCGAGCAAUUCACGAAAUAGGCGUACAGGUGUUUAUAAUAAUCAAGUGCAUAAACCCGAUCGGUAUAAAAAAAAUAGCGACUGUUUUUAAGGCGAAAGAUUUCUCUGGGAAAAGAUGUGAAUGGAAGGCCGCAGCUUCCAUUGGCCAAGUUAACAUCGGCAACACUGAUUGUGCUUUCGUCAUAGGAAAUUCUCUUUACAUAGUACAUCGCAGAAUUGAAUAAUUCUAGGAUGGUUUGGUUGCUCCGGCAAGACAGUUCGAACUCAGGAUAACCGCAUCCCGAUGGAUCUCCCUUUAGGCGAAAAGGGUAGCUAAUGUUUUUGAUAUCGCCACAAGAAGAGGAACAGGUUUGUUGAAGUACUUCUCUUGCUUCAGUUUCAGUGGUGAAUAGAUAGAUCAAUAGACAAAACAGAAGAGUUGAGAGAAUUGAUGAUUCUUCCCCACUCAUUGUUAGUGCAAUCCCAGGAUACGAUGAAUUUCAAUAAAUUAAACAGAAGGUUGCAUUUUCAAGGUUUUGGGUGCGCAUUUACAUCAUUACUUCACAACGAGCACGUGUAUAUAGUAAAUUUAUUAUAGCAUUCAACUAUCUGAUUCUACUAGCUGAAGAUGAUAUAGCAAUAAUUAAUUGUUCAAAAAUAGUACUAUCUUAUUCUUAAAAAAAUCAUCAACAAUAAUUAAUCGUUCAAAAGUAGUAUUAUCCUAUCUGAUUCUACUAGCUGAAGAUGAUAUAGCAAUAAUUAAUCGUUCAAAAGUAGUAUUAUCUUUUUUUUUUUUUAAAUAAUAAACAAAGGUGGGGAAAUUGAAAAGGUUUAAAAGAGCAUAUUAAUUGAAUUUGUUUGAGCGCAAGACUUUUAGCAUCCAUGCCAGAGGGGACACCGGACACUCUUACAAGUCAGUCAACUCUUAGUAAACGUUUUGAUUGCAAGUUUGCGUCGGUGAUUAUGACCCUAGCUUGACCUGAAAUUUCGUAGUAAACCUUCAAAUUGAGACAAAAAUUUUGUAACAAUUUCCACGCAUGAAACAAUCCAGUCAACAUCUUUCGCUCGCUACUUUAAUUUCUCACCACAAACUCGGAGACAAUAAUUCAUUUUUUUUAUGAGAACACAGAACAUGCUUUGAUAUAUAAAAUAUAUGAUAAUUUUAUUUAUUACAUUUGUUUUUGUUUCAAGGCUAACACUAUGUUACGUUGAACGCAACAUACACUCAAAAGAGACAAUAUCUAUUAAUACCCUUAAACUUUAUGGAAACUACGUUAAUUGAAUUAAAAGAAAUGCUUUUAAAUCUCAAGGAAGAAAUGAGAGAAAUUAAACAAGAAAUAAGAAAAAUAAAAAUAGAACUAUCUGUAAUACAAAUGAGUCAAAAGAAAAAUUAAAAAGUAGAAAAAUUUGAAAUGUUAAAAUCAGGAAUAAUUGGAACAAGUUUUAAGAAACCUAUAGAAAAACCACAAACAGGGAGUUAUGAUGAUUGGUUUAUAAAAACCCAAUACCCAAGAAUAUUAGAAGAAACAGAAAAAUUAAAUGCAGAAUUAAAAAAGAAAGAAAAAGGCAAAGAAAAAUUAGAAAUAAAAGAAGUAACCCCUAGUGAUUCAAAGUAAUGGAAGAAUUAACUGAAAAAUUUAGUGAUAUAAACCUUAGUGAUUUAGAAGACUUUGAAAAAGAAUAUUGCAUAAAAAUGAAUACUGCUGGAGGUCCAGAAAUGAAACCUAAUAUUGAAGAACCAAGCCAUAGGAAUGAAACAAAUAAAAAGAAAAAUAGACCAUUUUUUGAAUAUUACCCACCUAUUAAAAAGAAUCAAUGGAAAAAAGAAUACCAACCUAAUAAUGACCACCUAACUCCAAUAAGCAAUGCAGGCACAUUUCUAGACUUAGACUGCAAAAUAGAUCCCCGAAAAGCUUUAGUAGAAUGGGGAAUGCAAAUGAAAUUAUUUUUUAUAUUUAAUGGUUCUAGAGACGAUUGGAAUGUUGAAAUAGAAGAAGAAAAAAUAAAUAUAUUUGCUGACAUUUUAAUAGCAAGUUUCACAGGAAACGUAUUUAAUUGGUGGAAAGGAUUAAGUGAAGAUACACAAAAAUUAAUAAAAGAUUCAACCAAAAUAGCAUUAGGAAGAAGUAAAGGAUUAGGAAUUGAAAGAAUAAUUGAAUAUAUUGCUAGUGAGUUCUUAGGAGAAGACUGGUUGCAAAAUUCAGAAAAUGAAGCAAAACGUGAUAAAUUAGAUGCUAGAAUGAAACUAAUAAAUUUAACAAUUUGUAAUAUGUGUUUUGUAAAAGAAUAUACCUGUGAAUUUUCUAAAUAUUAUUAUACUCAAUUCAUGAGUCACGAAGACCAAAAUAUCUAUAAGAAUUUAUACUAUUCUAAACUUCCAUACCCUUGGAAUGGAUAUUUUAUUAAUGAAUAUGAAAAGUACACUAGUAGUAGUGAUAAUAGACUCCCAGAUACAUUAGGAGCUAGAAUAAGAUUCUUAAAUACAAGAUUAAGUGAAAUAUGUAUUCAAAGGAGUUUAAUAAAAAAGAGUAAAAAUAUAACAAAAAUAUGUUGUGAAAAAACGGAGAUGCCUACCCAAUGGGGAUGUUAUGCACCUCAUAAACGACACAGGAAAUCCUACAAAAAGAAAAAAGAUAUAAGAAAUACAAUAAUUUUAAAAGAAAAUAUAAAAAAUCAGGAAGAAAAUAUAAAAACCAAAGAAAGAUAUUAGACAAGUCCAAAUGUAAAUGUUGGAAUUGUGGAGAAAUGGGACAUAUUAGUACAGACUGUACAAAAAAGAAAGUUAGACUUCUAAAAGAAGAUUUUGAAAAUAUAGAGAAUGACUUAGAAGAAAUAAACAAUCUAUCAGAUAAUGAAGGAGAAGAAGUUUAUAUGGUAGAAGAAUAAGAAAAUGAGUCAAAAUAAAGAAGAAUUAAUGGAAAAUGAAAAGAUAGAAGAAAUUGAAGAAAUAGAGCAAGAAGAGAAUAAAAGUGGAUAUAGUCUUGUUGCUACUUUUAAUAAAGAAAAAUAUAAUAAACUUUUAAAACUAAAUAUGGAAAAACCGAAAUAUGGAAUAAUACAUAGGUUCAGAGAUAUGUUUAAAAGAAAAUGAAUAGUAUUACAUGAAUACUAUGAAUAAGAAAAGGCCGUAACAAUCACACAAGCAGAGGGAAACAUUAGAUUUAGUUUAAUAAAUAAAAGAUCUAUAGAUUUAGCGUUAAGAAAAAUAAAGAAUGAGUCAACAAAAGAAAAAAUCCAAUAUGUAUAUUUAGCAGAAAUCCAAAUCUUAAUAAAAUCUCUUUUCAAAGAAGGCAUAGAUAGUCCCAUAGUUUUAUCAUUACACGAUCAAAGAUUUACUAAUCCUAGCAUAGGACAUUUAGGAACCAUAGAAGGAAAUUUAUGUUAUACUAAACUACUAUUUACCUGUCACCCUAGAUAUUGCGUACAUAUAAAGGAUAAAAACAUAGAUGAAACAUUAAGUUUACAUUUUAAAUUAUUAAAAAAGAACUUAAUGAAAGAAGGGAAUAGAAUAAUGACAAUACACUAUUCAGCUUUAUAUAGUUUUUGUAAUUCAAAUUAUGGAGAAAUAUAUGGAAAUAAACCUUACAUUGAGAUAAAUAAAGAUUGUGAAGAUAUAGCGACAUUUAUAGAACCAAUAAUCCAAGAUUAUAAAAUCCCUAUUAAUUAUGAAUUAAAUAUAGAUGAUAGAAAACAAUUUUUAGAUAAUAAUAAUGAAAACUCCAUUAUCCCUAUAAGUUUUGCAGGAAGAACCUUGAUAAGAGGAAAUUCAUCUAAAAGACUAAGUAUUGAUAAACAAAUAGUUCAACCUAUUGUAACUAAUAAUGUAAUAAAAAUACAUGGACAGUACUUUAAUGGAAUAGUUUAUACAGCAAAGAUACCAAUACUCGUAGAUACUGGAACAAUUCAUAACUAUAUGAACCACACUAAAAAUAAAGGACUUUUGGUAAAAGAAAAAGAAAUUCCAUAUGAAUAUACAUAUUUCAAUGGAAAUAAACAUAUUUGUAAACAAGAAGUUAAAGUCCCUAUAAUCAUAGAAGGACUUAGAAUAAUAGUACCUUGUUAUAUAGACUCAUUCAUGACUACAGAUCCGGAAAAACAUAUAGUACUAGGAAAUAGUUUUUUAAACGAUUUAGAAUAUUACAAAAUAGAAAAGAAUAAAAUAACCUUACAAAUACAAGGCCAAAAGAUAAUAUGUGAAACAUGUUAAAACAGGCUUAUAUAAAAUACCCUAUGUCUGUCUAUAUACAAAUAAAUAUAACAGAAAAAGAUAUAGAUACAUGUGCCUUAAUCGAUACGGGUAGUGAAAUAACUAUUAUGAAAUCCUUUUUAUCCAGGAAAUGGGAAUUAAAUGGAAAAUUAAAAAUUAUUGGAAUAACAGGAGACAAACAACAAGUAAAUCAAUCUAUAACAAACUUUGAAAUAUUGUUAGGAAGUAAAAUAGUACGUAUUAAUCAAAUAUUUCAAUACAAUAAUAUGGAUUGUGAUAUCCUUUUAGGUAAUGAUUUUAUACAACAAUUCCAAUAUUAUCAACAAACUCCAUAUAUGAUUACUUUCAAAACCCCUUGUAACCAUAUUCUCUGUAUCCCUCGUGAAUUUAAACCCUACCGAGUUCAGACAGCCUAGCGUGGUGAUACAUACAUUUAUGAAAAACAUUAUUUAAUACAAAAAGGACAGAGUUAUAAUAUACAAUUAGAAACAAUAAAGUCGCAACUUGAACAAGUUUAUAAAGAAAACCCAUUAGCAUUAUGGAAACCAGACCAUCCUAGAGUAAAAAUAGAAUUAAUUGAAAAUAGGAUAAUAAGAUUAAGACCUAUGAUGUACACAGAAGAAGACAAGGAAAAAUUUAAAAUCCAAAUAAAAGAACUCUUAAAUCUAAAACUCAUCCGAACUAGUAAUAGUCCACAUAAUAGUCCAGCCUUUAUGGUUAGAAAAAGAGCAGAACAGGUUAGAGGAAAAGCAAGAAUGGUAAUAAAUUAUAAAAAACUAAAUAAAUAUACAAAAUUUGAUGAAUAUUUUCUCCCGAAUAAAAAAGUAUUAAUAAAUCUUGUAAAAAAUAAAACCUAUUAUUCAAAAUUUGACUGUAAAUCAAGAUUUUGGCAUAUAAAAAUGGAAGAAAAUAGCAUUCCUUAUACAGCUUUUAGUACCCCACAAGGACAUUACGAAUGGCUAGUAAUGCCUUUUGGACUAAAAAAUGCCCCUCAAAUUUUUCAGUGUCGAAUGGAUAAAAUAUUUAAAGAUUAUAAAUAUAUUCUAGUCUAUGUUGAUGAUAUAUUAAUCGCAUCUGAAACCAUAAAAGACCACAGGAACCAUCUAAAAGAAUUUGUUAAUAUAAGUAUUAGAGAAGGGAUAGUGUUAUCAGAAAGAAAAGCAAUUAUAGAACACAAGAAAAUAGAAUUUUUAGGAAUGAUUCUUGACAAAAAAGGAAUAAGACUUCAAAGUCAUAUAGGAAGAAAGAUUAUAGAAUUCCCAAAUAAGUUGGAAAAUUAACAACAAAUACAAAAAUUUUUAGGAUGUUUGAAUUAUGCAGAAGGAUUUAUAAAAGACUUAGCAUAAAAGAGAAAUAUACUUCAAAAAUUAUUAAGAAAAAAUAACACUAGAGGAUGGAGUGAAGAACACACAGAAACUGUAAAAACUUUAAAGGAAGAAUACAAAAAUCUUCCAGCAUUAAGAUUACCCGAAGAAAAAGAUAAAUUAAUAAUACAAACGGAUGCAUCUGAUCUAUAUUGGGGAGCAAUUCUCAAAACUGAUAUAAACGAAAUUUGCCGAUAUACUAGUGGAACGUUAAAUCAAGCACAAGUCAAUUAUCCCGUACAUGAAAAAGAACUCCUUGCAAUAUAUAAAGGAAUUAAAAAGUUCUCAUUAUUUUUGCUCCAAAAGCAAUUUAUCGUAAAAACAGAUAAUUCCCAAGUAAGUUCUCUUGUUAAUAGAAUUUUACCAAAUGAGUCUCAAUAUAGAAGACUACAUAGAUGGCAAGUUUAUUUGUCUUAUUAUAAUUUUAAAAUUAUUCAUAUAAAAGGUACUAACAAUUUCCUUGCAGAUUUCCUAGGCAGAAACAUAGAAUUCGGAAAAUGAAUGCAAAAGUAAAUAAAACCCUAUCUGCAAUAAAUACUGAAAUACAAAGGCUCAAGGCCGAGACAUCUGACAUGCUUGAUGCAAUAAAUUACAUGAAAGAGGCAGCAGAGAGCCAUGAGAAGGGAAUACAUUUGUUAGAGUCAUAUAUAAAUGACCUAACAAAAUGGCUUUCAAUAAACACUAGCCCAAUAAAUAUAGGAAGCAGUAGUGGACCAAACCCACAGCAAGAACCGGUCUCUGAUCCAAUUGUCAGCCGAACCAUAUCCAUAGAAACCGAAUCACCAAAAGCAACUUCUUCAAAAAAGUUUAUCAAAAUAAACAACUCCUCCACAAAAGAAGAAGAAAAAUCAUUUCCUCUAAAUCCAAAAGAAGAAGAAUAUAAACAGUUUUCCAUAUGGAUAUAUUCUACAUGUUCCCACAACAAUACAAUCUUCAAAUCUCUAGGAAAAAAUAUGUAUCCCAGGAUGAUAGCCAUAAAAGGAGCAGAUCCACUCCUUGUUGGAAAAAUAGCUAAAUACGGGUAUCUAGACUUAGUAUAUCCAGACAUAGACCUUAGGAAAAUAGCCAGUUUAGAUGAGCUAUUAGUCAAAGAAGUUUCUAAAUUUGCCCAAAAAAAGUCCAUAUAUUUAAAAUUCUAUACCAUUAAUCCAGAAUACCAUAAGAAUAUAGAAUACCAAGCAUAUUAUAUGAUCUCAGUGGGACAUAUUAUAAAAAAUUUCCAAUUAGAAGUAGGAACAGAAUAUACAAAUGUUCCCCAUAUAACCAAUACAUGGAUAAGAACCCGUAGAGCUCGAGGAAUAAAAACAAUAUGGAGUAUUGCUAAAGAUCUCUAUAAGAGAAAUUAUAGAACAAUUAUCCGUUUUCAAAACUAUAUCCUUGUGACUUCAGAAGAGAGCCAUACACCAUCUAAUAUCCUUCUAGAAUUCAUCAAUGAAAUCAGUACCAUGAGAUUUCCCAGUAGCAGUGAAACCAUGCAACAAGCUUAUCAGCUUAUGGAAACAAAGUAGACUGGCUGGUGGCAGACAAGUGGCAGAUAACAAAAGGAUAAAAAGAUGCUCGUGGCAGACAGCUCGUGGCAGACAAAACGAAGUGCCCGACAAGAUAAAAAGAGAAAGAGAUGAUAUUAUUUUCUUUGAUAAUAAUGAAAAGAUGUAAGCAAUGAUGUAAGCGGCCAAUAAUGUAAAAGGCCAAUAAUGCAGAAGCCCAAUAAUACAAGGGCAAUAAUGUAAACUUAACAAUGUUGGCAAUAAAUAAAAGAGAAGAGAAAGAAGAGGAAGACCUCAGACUUUCCAGACAUUCCAAAAAACGUUCUUUCAAAAUUUAAAUUCUCUCAACAAUGAUUCUGUAAACACUUCCUUGCUCUAAAACCAUAAAUCAAAUCGUCAUAAAUCAUUAACACAAUCAUCAGAGAAAAGGGAAAGAAACCUAAACUUAUCCAACACUUCUUUAAUAAGCCGAUCAAAAUCCAUACAGUAAAGCCAUCUGAGUCCUCAGAUCCCGCUGAGGCAGGAGGCCGUUAAGGGAAUUGGACAUCCAGGCUGCAGGUCACUGGAAGGAGAUUGGAAAGAGAAGAAGUGAAAGAAAGUUAGGUAAUAAUUCUUAAACUUUAUCUUUUGGUGGAGGUUGUUGCUGAUUAAGUGAUGAAAUGAUUUGUGGAGGAAGAGCAAAUUUUCAUAAUGAAUCAAAUCCUUGAUUAUCUUUUGUAAAAUGAAUCAUAAAUUUUAUUUAGGAGAAUCUAAAGAAUACAUGAUAAAUCCAACUACAAAAUAACAUAUAAUGAUUAUAUGAUGAUCAUAGACUUUAAUUUAAGAUUAUUUAAACAGAGUUCAUAUUUGUUUAGUAAACAGGAACUUGUAAGAACAGAAGAUUUAUUAGCUAUAUACUCACUAGAUUUACCUCAAGAAAUAAAACAAAGGAUCAUAAAUUAUAUCAAAAUAGAUAAUCUAAAACAUAACAUAAUUAUGUUAACUAUAGAAGAAGGAAUAGAUGUAGCAAAAGCAUACUUGGAACAAAAAAGUUAUAGAGAAGAACCUUCUUAUAGUUAUAAUUCUGAUAACGAAGAAUUUGAAAUAUAAAUUAUAAAUCUCUUCACAUAAAUAUGGAUAAGUGUAUAUUGGCUGGAAACCAAGGUGUGCGAACUACUGGCUCAAAGGAGAUUUAAAUAUCUUGGGUUACCAAGGAUCUCAUCACUCUGGUAAAACAACGCCACGUACAACUAUUCGCUGGUAUUAAAUAAAAUGUAUCAUACAUUUAAAACAUCUUUUUGUUAUAUACUUUGAUUAUUUUGUAAAUCUAUUUCUAAUAUAAAAUAAUAAUAUAGCAUUCAGUUUGCUUAUUUUGUUCAUAGCUGGUAAUUACAAUUAUCUGGUUGUUAUAAUUAACUCUGUUGUGUAUUUUGUAAACCAAUUCGUAAAUUAUUGUUUUUCAUUUUUUCUGUUGUUCGUUUUUUCUAUUUGUCUGUGAACAAGAUGGUAUCAGAGCCAUGAAAAAUCCAAGACCAUAAACAUGGAUCCUAUACAAUUGAGGUUGUUGCUGAUUAAGUGAUGAAAUGAUUUGUGGAGGAAGAGCAAAUUUUCAUAAUGAAUCAAAUCCUUGAUUAUCUUUUGUAAAAUGAAUCAUAAAUUUUAUUUAGGAGAAUCUAAAGAAUACAUGAUAAAUCCAACUACAAAAUAACAUAUAAUGAUUAUAUGAUGAUCAUAGACUUUAAUUUAAGAUUAUUUAAACAGAGUUCAUAUUUGUUUAGUAAACAGGAACUUGUAAGAACAGAAGAUUUAUUAGCUAUAUACUCACUAGAUUUACCUCAAGAAAUAAAACAAAGGAUCAUAAAUUAUAUCAAAAUAGAUAAUCUAAAACAUAACAUAAUUAUGUUAACUAUAGAAGAAGGAAUAGAUGUAGCAAAAGCAUACUUGGAACAAAAAAGUUAUAGAGAAGAACCUUCUUAUAGUUAUAAUUCUGAUAACGAAGAAUUUGAAAUAUAAAUUAUAAAUCUCUUCACAUAAAUAUGGAUAAGUGUAUAUUGGCUGGAAACCAAGGUGUGCGAACUACUGGCUCAAAGGAGAUUUAAAUAUCUUGGGUUACCAAGGAUCUCAUCACUCUGGUAAAACAACGCCACGUACAACUAUUCGCUGGUAUUAAAUAAAAUGUAUCAUACAUUUAAAACAUCUUUUUGUUAUAUACUUUGAUUAUUUUGUAAAUCUAUUUCUAAUAUAAAAUAAUAAUAUAGCAUUCAGUUUGCUUAUUUUGUUCAUAGCUGGUAAUUACAAUUAUCUGGUUGUUAUAAUUAACUCUGUUGUGUAUUUUGUAAACCAAUUCGUAAAUUAUUGUUUUUCAUUUUUUCUGUUGUUCGUUUUUUCUAUUUGUCUGUGAACAAGAUGGUAUCAGAGCCAUGAAAAAUCCAAGACCAUAAACAUGGAUCCUAUACAAUUAAUAGUUGAUAGUUUAUACACAUUAAAAGUAUAUAAUAAAGAAGAAAUAAAAAAUUUAAUAAAAGCAUUAAAAAUUGAUAAAAAUAAUAUAAGAAAUAUAGAACUUGAGUUGACUGAAGAGCUUAGAGAGAGAAAUAUAAAUACAACAGGAGGAGAAAUAUUGAUAGAAAAGAAAAUGAAAUUUAUUGAUAAAUUUAUAACAUUUUUAGUAUAUUGGUAUAAAACUGAAACACUAUGAAUCAAGCUUUUAAUACGAUACAAGAAUUAGUAAAUAGUACAGAACGUAGGUGUCUAGGAUGGGAAAUCAUAGUAAAUACAUAUAUAAAUUUAAUAAAUCAGAAAAUAGAUUUACUAGAACAAGAAAGAAUAGGAUUAAUAAAUUUAGGACCAGAAAUUUAUUCUGAAUUUAUAGAUUUAUAUGAAUUUGAUAAUCAUUUAUUGUUAUUAAAAGAAAUAAAUAAAACUUUAGAAAAAAUAAAAAAUAGAUGUAGAAGAGAUGGGAGAAGACAAAUACUUCCUCAAUUUUAAAGAAUAAAGAAAAAUAAAAGGACUCAAAUGAAAUUUGCAAAGAAGAAUAAAACAAAAAACGUAAGGUACAUUAAUCGUAACUUAGGCGCUCCCUUGUUUCAAUGUUAUAUCAAUAGUUAUUAUAAAGUACAUUUGGUUAUUCAAAUAAAGGGUAUAAUAAUAUAAAGAGUGCGUGUGUAAAUUGUAAUAAUUUAUUAAACUUAGUAGGGUCUGUGUUAUCAUCAGCAAUCUUAAUCAUUUAAAUUUGAUUCUAAAGGGGGAAUCUGAUAUGGUAUGUUUCAUUUUGUUGGUUGACAAUGUUCAUAAAUAUUUGUAUCACUGUUUCCUUAUGAAGUUUUGGCUUCUGUGUAAGGAAGAGAAGGAAGAAGAUUAUUGAACUCAGAAAAAGUGACAUGGAUUAACAGAGAAAGAGAGAUGUUUUUUAGUGUAAUAUUAAAGAUAGCCAUUCAUUUUUGUAUGGCUUAAAAGCAUUUUAUUUAAGUCAAUGGCAACCCCACGAGAGAUUAGUCCUCAAUGAGAUUUGCAGAAAACAAUAAUAAAGAAUAAGCUAAAUGAAGCCAUUGACCUGAUUUUUUGUGAUUACUUUUCAAUGUGGGGGUAAAAUAAUGAAGAAAAUUUCCACCUCAGAGUUUUUUUUUUUAACUAAUUAAAUAUCAUGUUACUUUAUUAUAUAGAGAUAUUUACAACUGCUAUGACAGCAGGUCAUUAUAUACCUAGGACUUACAUUAUUACAUUUUUUAUUCUAUGAAAUACAUGUCCAGCCAAAUACCCCUCACGAGGGAGGGAUGUCUCUACUCCACUCGCAUUUCGCAAGGGAGAAAGACGUUAUAAGUAAUCUCCACACAAUUAUGAUUAAUUGAGAGAGUUUUUGAGUCCGUGGAGACUCGAACCAUUGCCCUUAUAGUCAUGCUUAACUUUAAGGGUAAUGGUUCACCACUGGGCUACAAGCUCAAGUGGCCACCUCAGAGUUUUAAGUUAAGCCUAGCACACCUCUAGUUAAAUUCUUUUGCCACCCAUAUGGACAGAUUCAAAUCUCAAACUUUUUGUAUCAACUCAAAAGAUUUCAACAACUAAAUUAUCUAUCACUCGCGAAAAGUGUAGUGUGUGCCUUAGGCUCCAAUUCGAGAUAAACCAAUGAGAAGAAGAAGAACAUUUGUCAUUAAUUGCAUGUUAUUCAUUUAUUUAUUUUACAUUCAUUAUUGGCAAAAUUAAACCUAAAUAUCACCGAAAGAUCACUCCUUCACUGAUUCAGACAUUAACAACUCUGUUGAAGAAUCUGAUUCAAUCUCUCUUCCGGAUAUAUGUCGAGAAGAAGAUGAGGUAAUAUUUUAACCUAUAUAUUGUUCUUCCUGUGGCGCUGAUGGGAGCAAAAUCAUUUUCCUUGGGGUGAAAUUUUGCAAGGGCCGAAAUCUGAGACCUUGGGAAAGGAAUUAGGAUCUAGCAGGAUGUUGUGAGACUUAAAUGUUGAAAUGAAGACUGCACACAUCACAUCCGUUCUGUAAAUACUCGAUCCCGCGAGCCUUUUCUAAAGCAACCUAGCUCAUGGAGUUUCUACCAACUACCCUCCUUGGGAACUAUAAGUCUAUCAAUAAAGGAAUGCUCUUUCAGCGAUAGUUAUGCUUUAUUUUUUUCAAUGAUGUGUUUAAAAAUAGACUAAAGUUUUCGUAUUCUUUAUGCACCCUGUGCUUGCAUGGGAAGGUAUCAUAGGUGCAGAGGUUUCCUCUCUAUAAAAUGUUUUUAUAUUAAUUUUGUGCCACUGUAAUGAACUCUGUUGUGUUUCAUUCGGUAUGUAAUCUGCCAUAAAUGGAAUCAGAUUUAGCAGUCUAGUUACUAAUAAUCAUCUACUUGACAAGUUGAAAUUUCUAAGGGCCUACUUCAGAAUCAGAGACGACGGUGCACAUUUUGAAAGACUUUUGAAGUCUCACUUCGUUGCUUAUCUGAAACUAAAUGAUUAAUCAAAAGAUUCAUCAGCAAUUAGGUAGCAUUGAUUUUAGUAGGGAAGGAUAGCGGGGUAUAAUAAAUAAUAGGAAAAAAGACACCUACACUCUAAUGUUUGAAAAAAUAAUUAUAAAAACUCCCAAGUCUUCAAUAAAAAACAACAAGGUUUUUUUUUUUUUUGCUAUAAUACCCUUUAACUCUAUAAAUCUAAAAAAUUUACUCUCAAAUUUUAUAAUCUAUAGAAACAUGACAUUAAAAUAAAUGUAAUAAUAUAUACAUUUGAAAAAUAUCUAAAAAUAUAUUUUUAUAUUUUACAAUCUAUUUGACUUAUUUUAUUGCCGUACAGCAGUAAAUAGAAAUAUAAUAUUAAAAUAAAUUAAUUAAAAUCAAAAUUAUUUGAAUAUUAUGUAAAAAUAAUUUUAAUAUUAUUAAAAGGGAUAUAUUUUGUUAAUUGUAAAUGAAACGACCCGCCCCGAAUCCCCCCAGGCGAGUCUAUCUAGUCUCAUCAAGACAGACUUGAUAAUAAUUCUAUUCGUAAGAUUCUGCCGAAAAUUCGACAGAGUCUCCUUUAUAUAUAUAACACUCCCAAUAUACAAAUAUGAAUAUAACACUCCCAAUACAAUUUAAUAUACAACAAACUCCAGUGCUCAACAUCCUCAACUAAAAUGCUGAGUUUUAUAUCUCCAGAGUCUCAAAAGAUAAUAUUAUAACUAAUAUGAACAUCUCAAUUUAUUCUUAAUCCCAAAAGAAUAAUAUAACAAAAGUAUACAAUCCCAAAAGAACAAGAUGACCAAGAUGUCCUAACAAAAGCAUCUAUAUCUUCUAACACCAUCACGUGGCCAAGACUCAAAAUAUAUUUACAGUCGCUAGGUCGGUCUGGUGUACCUGCAACCUCCUGGUGAGGGGGGGAAAAUAUAAUAAAAACGGGAUGAGUUUAAAACUCAGUGAGAUCAGUAAGUGGAUAGUAGUUUUGAAAAUUAAUCCUUACUUUAAAAGAAAUAAUCAUACCAUUUCCAAACACGAUUUCAUUAAACCAUAAGCGAGAAACCAGUAAUAAGUCAUACCACAAUAUCAUAUAGAAUUCACAAAUCUGAAAAUCAUCACCAAACAAGUAUCCAGGGAAAUAAUUUUGUCAUAUCCGGACCUCAACGGACGGGCAAUGACGUAUUAUCUGGGUAACGUCACGCCCCGGAGCUACACGGAUAAACAAGGAAAUACCAUCUCAUAUCUCAUCAUAUCUGUGCAUGCAUAAUCUAUUCCCCAAAUGACAAAAGCGCCCAAGCACACGGCCCAAAGCCUCUGUGUGUACUCAGACGGGCCCCAAAGGCCUGUAUCUCAUAUGUAUCAUAUGUAUCAUUUGUAUCUCAACAGCUGUCUGUAUCUCAUAUCAGUAUAUCUGUACUCAUCAUACCGCAUGCAUAUGCCCCCAAAAGACAAAAACGCCCAAACACACGGCCCAAAGCCUCUUUGUGUGUUCAGACGGGCCCCAAAGGCCUCUCAUCUGUAUCACUGUAUCUGGAGGGAAGGGUACUGUCUAAUGAUUUCAAAAACAAUCAGUCUACUCAUAUUCACAUACCUCUUAACCAUAUUUUAAAUCAUACCUUGAAUCCACUUUUCUUAUCUUUAAAAUACUAUCAUACUUUAUUCAAAAUCGAUACACAAAAUCAUUAACCAAACAUUUCGAGAAAUUAUUAAAUCAGAACAUUUAAAAUACUUAUUUCGCAAACAUGCUUUACUAUUAUAAUUAACUAUAAAAAUAGGUUUUGUAUAUUCCACUCACAGUGACGGUGUUCACGGUCAGUUAUCGUCCACGUCCGCGGACCGGUUCUCGCUCGCGAAUCCUCCUAAAUCAAGGAAAUGACAUAAUUAUUUUCCGUAAAUCGGAAUUACGACUAAAUUUAUGCAAUAAACUGGAAACGAACAUCUAUCCAUAAUUGACAACUCCCGUGUCCAUAAAAUUACUAAAAUGCCCUUGAGUCCGUAAAUCAUUAACACAUACUCUGAAAUCGUACAUCACCGAAUUACCCUCGGAAUCGUAAUUACACCCACUCCUCAAUUCUAGGAAUUACUAAAAUAUCCACAAGCUCAGAAAUUAUAAAAUUGCCCUCAUAGUGUGAAAUUACCAAAAUGCCCUUGCCGGUCAACGGUCACCGGAAUUUGGUCAACGCUAGCUAGGAAGCUCAAUUCUAAAAGUUCCAAUCACGCUGAGUUCAAUGGUACUGGCGGUGAGCUCCAACACGCGGCAACGGCGCCGGAAUCGAGCUCGGCAGCCGUGAAUUCCAACAAUCGACCGACGGCAAAACAGUGACUCUCGGUGCCUAUGGAUGGUCGAAAAUGGAAGAGGGAGUCGUGGGGAACAAGAUCCAACCGGUGGUGUCACCCAAAACCAGCGAAAAUCCCGGCGGAGCAAAGUGCAACAGUCGCGGGUUUCAAGCUUCGAUCGUCGGUGUUCCGGUUGGUUUUCGGUGACGAGGAUGGCAAGGGAACGACGGUCGGCUUCUAAGCUUCAGAUUGGUACCAAGCUCGGCCGAAAUGGCAGCCGGAAAUGGGAGAUAUGGUCGGGUCAAGGUCGUGGGUUCCAGGUCGGGUUUUCGGGUCUGUAGUUGGGUCGGUUUGGCAGCCUCUCUCUCACUCUCUGUUACACGUGCAUAUGUUGCUCUGUUUUCCAGCUUCUUCUUUUGUUAACUUCUUAACCGCCUCUUUUAUUCAUUUUAAAAUUCACAUAUGUUAUAGUAAAAUUCAACCCAAAGACUUUAUUUAAAAUCUUUACAACAAAUACAAAUCUAUUAUUAAAAUAAAUAUAAUAAUUUAAAUUUUUAUAUUAUUUUAAAUGUCAAAAAUAAUUUAAUAUUAUUAGUUUACUAGAUAGAUUAUAUUAUUUAUAUUAAAUUUUAAUUAAAUAAAAAACUUCAAAGUCAAUUUCCUAAUUAAUAAAUUCAAAGGGUAUUAUGAUUAAAAAUGGGUCUUGAUGUCUCAUUUUAAAAACUUGAGAGUUUUUGUAAUUAUUUUCUCACACCUUAAGGGUAUAAUUAUCUUUUUUCCUCAAUAAUAUUAUAAAUUGAAAAAAUUCAUCCAUAGUUGUAUUAAUGUUGUAUAACUCGAACACAUCAAAGAUUUUAAGCGAUAAAUAAAACAACCAGAGUCAAACAAAAACUCAAUUUAGUGGUUUUCAAGCGUUCCAAUAACAAGAAGGACUAAAUAAUUUAGCUUAUAAUCGGGGAAAAUUUGAAAUAAAUUAACAAUAUCCCUUUUUAAUUGUAAUCUUCUGCUAUCUAGAUCAAUUGAUUGCACCUGCCUCAACAUCAGCAGAGACAAAGGGCAUUGGAGGGAUCUCCAAGCUUUGUAAAUCAGCUUCAAGCAUUUGUAACACAAUUGGCAUGGAAGGUCUCUCCGUGGGAUUCCAUUGAAUGCACCAAAUUGCCACAAUUGCAAGCUUUCUGGCAAUUCCCUCAUCCCCAUCUUCCUCAAAAUCCAAACAGAGCUCUUGUCCUUGCCUCAUUCUAUUGUAAAUCCACUCCGGAAAAUAUAUUUGGCUCUGAAUUUCAACCGCAGGAUCAUUAUUUUUUCUGCAUCCGACCAUCUCUAACAGCAUCAUUCCGUAACUGUAAACAUCAGACUUGUAAGAGAUCUCACCAAAAUUCCUGGAGAAAAGUUCAGGUGCAAUGUAGCCAGAAGUGCCUCUGGCAGCUGUCAGAGAUACAAUGCUUAUGUCCUUUGAGCACAACUUAGCCAGUCCAAAAUCUGAAAUCUUCGGUUGAAAAUUAUGGUCUAAUAAUAUAUUGUGAGGCUUGAUAUCGAAGUGCAGGAUCCUCUGGUUGCAUCCUUGGUGCAAGUACUCCACUCCACGGGCAACGCCAAAUGCAAUCUUCCUCAGCUUCUCCCAACUCAAUUGACGGUGACUUGAGCUAUUUGUCUUUGAGAAGAUGAAUUUCUCAAGUGAUCCAUUGGGCAUAAACUCGUAAAUAAGAGCGCGACGAUUCCCUUCAGAGCAAAAUCCCAGAAGCCGAACAAUGUGAAAGUGGUGAAUCCUGCCAAUUGUGGCCACUUCAUUGAUGAACUCUUGUCCAUUUCCUUUUAAAUGUUCCAACAUCUUGACAGCAACUGGAAUUCCGUUGAAGAGUUUUCCUCUGAACACACUUCCAUAACCUCCCUGGCCGAGCCUGUGCUUAAAUCUGCUUGUUAUUUUCUUCAGUUCUUUGUAAGUAUAUCUGGUAGGAUUGACGGUCCUGUAGUUUUCUAGGAACUUCUCCACCUUCAGUUGAGUCUCUUUUUCUUUUUCAGAUUCUCUUGAUCUGUAAAUGAGAAAUAUCACUAAUGCAAAGAGGGUGAUGCCUCCAAUGCUUGUGCCUGUGGAUAUUAGACUUAUUGAUAAAGGGCCAGGACCAUCUGUUAUAUAUAACUAAGAAAAGUUAGUUAAAAAAUUAACUCAAACAAUAAAAUGAGAUGCUAAAAGUCUGGACCCGUGCAAGCUUAACUUGGUAGCAUAAAGACUCUAAUAUCAUUUGAUUGGGUUUUAACAAGUCCCUCUCAUGUGACCAUCUCAUAUAGGUAUUUGUCCAUAACUUAAAUGAGAAUUAUAUAUCUUAUUCACAUGGGUGGAUAGAUAAUUAGGUUGUCAUUUAACUAAAUAAUGAAAAAAAUACUAAUAAGCAGAAGAUGAAAUUAUUUGAACUGCAAAGUAAGCACUCUUUUACCUUACACACUUUAAUUUUAAAAUUUUAACUUUUACUUGAGUACACAAUGAAAACACCAAAAUUAUCACAAUUAGAAAUCUCUGUCUUUAUGUUUUUUUUUUUCCCUUUCUGCAUUCACAAAAUGAUUUUUUUCCCCUCAUCUCUUAUUCCAUGUGAAUAUUGAGGGUUACUUGAUUGAACAAAUUUUUUUCUCAAUAAAUUUUCCAUCAUGAACUUAAUCAUAGAGAAAAAGUAUUAGUAUAAUAAUUCUUCUUAAUUUGUGUUCAUUGAGUACGCAAGAAAAUAUAAUAGGUUAAACUUUUAUCAGGCAUUGUGAGUUUAAUCAAUCUCUCACCAUUUACGAAAAUUAAUUGUAAUAUAAAGAUUCAAAGAUUAAAUUGACGAGAUAGAGAAAAUUAGUAUUAUGUAUUUGGUCCUGAGUAGUAUCAAUUUUUCUUCAAACAGUCAAAUCAGCCUGGCUAGCAACAUUUUAUUAACCAAUCUACAACUGGCACGAAUACCAGAAAGCAGCCUUUAAUAGCAAUGAUAUUCGCCAUACAGAUUAGGGGUAGGUAAAAUUAUAUUUGCCGCCAAAAAAAUGAAUCGUUAGUCUUUUUUUUUUUUGGUUAAAAAAAAAUCCAUCGAUUUAUAUGAGAGAAAAUAAAAAGCCAAAAAAACUAGAAAAACGCAAAAGAAAUUACAGGUCAAAGGGAAAAAAAAAAGCCUAACUAAAUCGAACCAAAUUGAUUGGAUUUUCAAUUCAGUUCAAAUUGUUAAUUUUUUGAAAAACUCACCAUCGGAAUUCAACUAAAUCUAACCAAAAGUGAAAUAUAGAUGGCUUCUUUAAUUUUUAACUUCUAGCAAUUGUAAUUACACUUUUACAAUUGAAAAAAUAAUGCAAAGCCUAAUUAUUAUUAUUUUUUCUUUUCAUUUACACUGCUCUGAUAAAUUUUCCGGCAUAUAUAACAAUGAUAAUAAAUUUGAUUGGGUUUUAACAAGUCCCUCUCAUGUGACCAUCUCAUAUGGGUAUUUGUCCAUAACUUAAAUGAUAAUUAUAUAUCUUAUUCACAUAGGUGGAUAGAUAAUUAGGUUGUCAUUUAACUAAAUAAUGAAAAAAUACUAAUAAGCAGAAGAUGAAAUUAUUUGAACUGCAAAGGAAGCACUCUUAAACCUUACACACUUCAAUUUUAAAAUUUUAACUUUUACUUAAGUACACAAUGAAAACACCAAAAUGAUCACAAUUAGAAAUCCCUGUCAUUAUGCAUUUUUUUUGCCUUUCUGCAUUCAAAAAAUGAUUUUCUUUUCCUCAUCUCUUAUUCCAUGUGAAUAUUGAGGGUCACUUGAUUAAACUAAUUUUUUUUCUCAACAAAUUUGCCAUCAUGAACGUAUAUUGGCUCUUACAUAAAAAGUUGACAAAGACAACCAUAGAGAAAAAGUAGUAGUAUAAUAAUUCUUCUUAAUUUGUAUUCAUUGAGGACGCAAGAAAAUAUAAUAGAUUAAACUUUUAUCAGGCAUUGUAAGUUUAAUCAAUCUCUCACCAUUAACAAAAAUUAAUUUUAAUGUAAAGAUUCAAGAUUAAAUUGACGAGAUACAGAAAAAUAGUACUAUCUAUUUGGUCCUGAGUAGUAUCAGUUUUUGUUCAAACAGUCAAAUCAGCCUGGCUAGCAACAUUUUAUCGACCACUCUACAACUGGCAAUAAACCUAGAAUGCAGCCUUUAUAGCAAUGAUAUUCCCAUACAGAUUAGGGGUGGGUAAAAUUAUAUUUGCCGCCAAAAAAAGGAAUCGUCAGUCUUUUUUUUUAGUAAAAAAAAAAUCCAUCGAUUUACAUGAGAGAAAAUAAAAAAUCAAAAAAACUAGAAAAACGCAAAAGAAAUUACAGGGCUAAUUAAAAAAAAAAACUAACUAAAUCGAACCAAAUUGAUUGGACUUUCAGUUCAGUUCAAAUUAUUAUUUUUUUGAAAAACUGACCAUCGGAAUUCAACUAUAUCUAACCUUUGCUCAGUGCCCACCCCUAUUAAUAUAGAUGGCUUCUUUAAUUUUUAACUUUCUAGCAAUUGUACUUACACUUUUACAAUCGAAAAAAAUAAUGCAAAGCCUAAUUAUUAUUAUUAUUUUUUUCAUUUAUACUGCUCUGAUCACUUUUCCGGCGUAUAAAACAAUGAUAAUAAAUUCAACUUAUUAUUUUUAUUGUUAGCUAAAUAGAGACGAUGCUUUCACUUUCAAGCACUGUAGAGAGAGGUGACUGAGGAAAAGUAUGGCUACUUACGUUUUUGGUGUUUAACGGCAACGCAGAUUGUCGAAUUGCUUGUAGUAUUGAACCCACAAUAAACGCAGAUUGUCGAAUUGCUUGUAGUGUUGAACCCACAAUAAUUCCCUUAAUUUUCGCAGUGGUAGCAUCCAUCAAGAGCUUCCCAUCCUAAGACUACUGGUCUUGCCCUGGCCGUCGUAGCAACAUCCUGCAGAGGUAAUCCACCAGGAAUCUCAACUGUUCGAGAUUUUCUGCAAGAUGGAGGCAUUUCCUCCAUUAAAUAUUCGCUAUAUAUGAUAUACACAAGAUUGUUUUCGCUGCCGAGACAAUUGAUCGGUCCAAUUGCUUCAAAAGGAGUCCGUUCUGAAGCAGCCUUCUCAGUGCAGUUAUAUAAAGCGUAACUGUCAUUAAAGGGAAGAAAAAAGAAUUUGGAGCUUGUGAGGUUGAAUGAGAUAAGACUUUGAAACGGGCAUGCAGUCUCAUUCACAUCUGUAAUGUUAAUACUGCUAUCUAGAUAAGAAAUUUCAUGGACAUAAUAAUCACCAGAGGAAGGAAGAUGCCAGAUUGCCUUGUCACUUAAGCAUGACAAUUCAAACCCUUCAAGGCCACAAGAUAUCGGUUGAGUUUUGAGUCUGAAGGGAUAUCUGAUGCUUGGGCUCCUAUUACUGCAUCUUGUUGGUUGACAGAAUUCAUAUUUAUCUGUCUUGUUGUCUUCCGCAGAAGCUUUGGCUAAUGUACAUGUAUAAGGUAAGAAGAGGACGAGGAUUAUUAAACUCAUCACGAGGGACAUGGAGGGCGAGGGAGAGUGGAGUUUGAGUUAGAGCGGGGUUUUGAGUUAUGCUUUUGGAGUAAUGAGGGAGAGCAGAGUUUGAUUGUCAAUUUGUCAAGGAAAAAGGUAGGAAAAUGGGUUUCUUUUAAUUUCUUCUGUUUUUCUAAGUCAAUGGUAGCCCCAAAGAGACUAGUCAACUUCAAAAUCUGCCAAUAUCAGAUGCAUGGAGGAACAAGAUGAGACUUGCUGUUUGUGAUAUAGAUUUUAGUGAGAGUUGCGAAAGUAAUUUGUCGGUAAAGAAAUGAGAAAAUUAUGUUUUUAAGAUCAGUAAGUAACGUUGUUCUUUAGAAAACGGGUAAUUCCUAGCAGCUAGCAUGAUAUAUCAGUGGGAGACUAAGGGUGUGUUUAGGAUUGAUGGGAACUAUGUGCCUUUAAAUUCACCAUUGUUGUGAGAUGGAAUUAUUAGCUAUUAAGUAAAAGUGGAUGCGUGGUGAUAUUUAGGUGUCUGCCAUAUACUUUGGUAAUUGUACUUUAAAUUAAGUUCAGCAGGAGCAAAGAGUGCAGCAAGCAGCGUUGGAAAAGGUUGAUGAAUGUACAUGAUCACAUGACAAACCUACAUCAUAUUCGGGUCAAUAUGAGCAAUAUUUGAAUAUUCACAUCAAACAAUGAAUCGUACUGAAAAUUUUCAACAUAAUGUUAUAGAAGCUCUGGUAGCACAAGGACAAUUUAUUUCUUUUUUACACAUAUCAUUGCCAAAACUAAGCAUAACUAUCAUUGAAAGAACAUUCCUCAAUCGAUUCAGACACUAACAACUCUGUUGAAGAAUCUGACUCAAUCUCUCUUCCGGAGAUAUGUCGAGAAGAAGAGAAGAAAGGUCUCGGAGGCAUUUGCAAAUCGUCAAUACUCCCUUCUAACAUUUCCAAAACUUUUGUCAUGGAGGGGCGAUCAGCUGCCUUCACCUGAAUACACCAUAAACCAAUCAUACACAGUUUCCUUGCAAUCAUGGACUCAAUUUCAGUCACAUUCCGAAGCUCUAAAUCACCUCCCUUAUUUAAUUGGUCAUAUACCCAAGAUGGGAAAUAUGCUUUGCUUGAACGAGUUGCAUGCAUAUUAGAAUUCCUUCUUCCGCCAGCCAUUUCCAACAACACCAUCCCAAAACCGUAAACAUCUGACUUGCAAGAAACAGUUCCAAAAUUCCUUGAAAUCAGCUCAGGUGCUAUGUAUCCUAUGGUUCCUCUUGUGGCACUGAUGGACACAAAAUCAUUUUCCUUGGGAUGAAACUUUGCAAGGCCGAAAUCUGAGACCUUUGGGAUGAAAUUAUGAUCUAGCAGGAUGUUGUGAGGCUUAAUGUCGAGAUGAAGAAUGCAGACAUCACAUCCGUUGUGUAAAUACUCGAUCCCACGGGCAGUUCCUAAAGCAACUUCAUGGAGUUUCUCCCAACAAAAAGAUUGGCCUCUACUCUCCUUGGGAAAGAUAUGCCUAUCGAGUGAUCCAUUAGGCAUAAACUCGUAGACAAGUGCGCGUUUGGAUCCCUCAGAACAGAACCCCAAUAACUGGACCACAUUAACGUGGUGAAUUCUACCUAUUGUUGAAACUUCGUUGAUGAAUUCCUCCGCACUGAACUUGGAGUUCUCCAGCAUCUUAACAGCAAUCAAGCGACCGGUAUGAAGCGAGAAAGACUAUUGGAGCAAGAAUAAAUCUACCAAUUAUCGGAACAUCAACUAGAAAACUUAUCCCAUUUCCCAUGGAAGGCCAAAAGAUUGCUAGGUAAAUUACUCUGUAAACUGCAAUUGGAGAGAAGGGGGAAAAAUUAAAUAAGCUUUAUACCUAAUCAGAGAGAUGAUUCAGAAAAAAAUUAUACAGUAAAAGAUUAGAGAAUAUAUGAAGCCGUCGCAUUUAUUAACGUCGAAAACACAUGAUCAAAAAGAUAUAUAAGGAUAUGCUUACGCAUAUAACAUGGGUAGCAAAUAAUUUUUGCCACUACUCCUUCAUUGUAUCUGAAGUUGCAAUCUGUUGCAAAAGUGAAAAGAAACAGAAAUUAAGGGUCACAUCGGUAUGCUCUUAGAUAUAGUUCACAAAUUCUUUAUUACGUACAAUAUUGAGAAACAAAAAACAAAUCGCUUGCAUUUGAAGGCAUAAAUAAACAUAAGCAUAGGCUUACACUCAGUAAAUGAGUUGUCCCUGCACUCAUCUAACCGUUUAAGAUCGAACCCUGACUCCAGCGAUUUUCGGAGGUCUUCAUAAGAAGGAUUGUCCACACUCCUAUUAAGUACUACAGGAACCUUUGAAAUAAAGACGCAUGAGUCUGGAAGAUCUGAUAUUCUGGCGUUGGUGACACCAUAUCCAACAUGUCCAACAUAAACAUAGACAUUCGACUGAUUGUUACUCAAACAUGGAACUUUCGUAUACGCCUGAUCAACAAUAUUACUUGAGCAAUUCACGUAAUGGGCGUAUGAUUUAAGAAUGUAACCGUUAAUAUGUCGGAAAAAGUAAGGAUAUGGGGAAAAAGAUUUGUACGGGAGGCCGCAGCUUCCAUUGGCUAGGUUAACAUCAGCAACACUGAUUGUACAUUUAUCAUGGGAAAUUCUCUUUACAUAGUACCUUGCAGAAUUGGACAAUUCUAAGAUGGUUUUGUUGUUCUCGCAAGAAAGUUCUAACUCCGGAUGACCGCAUCCAGCUGGAUCGCCCUUGAGGCGAAAAGGGUAGCUUAUGUUUCUGACAUCUCCACAAGAAGAAGAACACAUUUGUACUCCAAGUUUUCUUGCUUCAAUUUCACUGGUGCUGAAUACAAACAUCAACAGACAAAACAGAAAAGUUGAGAAAAUUGAAGCUUCUUCACUACUCAUUGCUCCUCCAAUUGCAGGAUACAAUUAACGAAUUUGAAUAAACUAAGCAGAACGGUAUAAAAGUGUUCAUUCGCUACGUUUUCUACAGUUUCACUUGCGCGGUGAGAGGCGGGCUUUAAACUUAUUAUAGUUUAGUAUACAACUAUGCGAUUGAAUUACUUAGCACUAAAUAAUUUGUUUUAAAAAUAAUAUUAAUUAUUCAUAAAAUGAAAUCGACACGAUGGAAGAAAAUUUUUAAUUACUGAGUGCUAGGCUUGUAGCAUUACUGCAAUGGGGACAAAUUUAGAUAAACAUGUUCAAUUUCGUUUCUUACUGUAAAUUUUUUAUGCGGAUGCCACGAAGCUUCUGGAGUCUCUUUCCACGAUUUGUUUAAGUGGAAGCUUUCAGAUUCCAAUGGGGAAGUCCAUACGGCAAGGAGAAGUCGCUUAAUUUCCUGGUAAUUGUAAAUGAGUUAGCAUCGGUGGGAAUGGGAUGAUCCAUCCCCAUCCUAGCUUGACCUCAAAUUUCUUGGUAAACGUUCUUCAACAUUAAAAGCGAUGGAACUUAUUGGAAACAGUUUCAAUGCAGUCCAAUUCCAGUUAAUAUCUUUCGCUUUCUUAAUUUCUCACCACCAAACACACUGGCGUACCCCACCUUUUUUUUUUUUUUUUCCUGACAGGAUUUGGAGAAACGCGGCAUUGGAAAUUUGGAGAGGGCCCGACGACCAACACUUUUAAAGCGACCAACAUGCAGAAGAAUGAGGACCUCUCAUGUCAUGUCACAAGUUUCUAAAAAUUAUGGUUGCUGUUGUAAUUAUUGUUAUUAUUAUUAUGAAUAAAGGAAGAUAUGUACAUUUAGAAUUAUGAUUAGGUACCCAGAGUUGAGUAAUAUAAUGCAUGAUAAGUUUUUAUUGGUGGAGUUGUGUUGUAGGCCCCACAACUCCACUAAUUGAAACACGUCAGGUGUGCGUGAUAGGCGUAUACGCCAUACAAUGCAUUAGUAUUUUUAUUAACUUUUUUUUAAAUAACUAAUAUACAGUAUAUUAGUAAAUUCACAUUUUAAAAGAUGUGGAAAUCCACACAUGAUAUAAUAUAUAUAUAUAUAUAUAUAUAUAUAUAUAUAUCUGCCUGAUAUAUAUAUAUAUAUAUAUAUCAAGAAUUUUAAAGUACGGAAAAGUCUGAAAAAAUUUUAAAACCGCACAGUUUUAAAUGUUUAUAGUUUUAAAGAUUUUUCAGACCUUCCCGCACUUUAAAAUCCUGAAUUGGAACAUUUAUGUAUAUAUAUAUGGAUAUGAGUCUAUCCUUGCGCAUUAGUUAUUUUUUGGGCGUUUUAAUGAUUUUGAUUUCAAAUGCCCAAUAUGAGCUGGGCUUCACAUUGAGACCACCAAAAUCCUAAAAGAAGUAUAAACCGUUAGACUGUAAUAAUGGAAACAAGUAAAUAUAUCAAAAAAUGAUAUUGGAAAAUUAAUGGUCGAAUACAUAGUUUGAUCAUAAGAUAUGACAACAAAUAAUAGAUUAUUAGAAUAACAAAAGGAUGUUAUUAAUAAUUUAUUUUUUUUAUCAUAUACGACGUUCAUUAAUCUCAAGUAGAUUAGAGUAGAAAUGAUAUAAUUUAUGACUAAAAUUUAGAUCAAUUUAUAUGUUAUUCAUCACACACAGUAUAUGAAUGAAAAAAGUUAGACCACCGAUGUAAUACUAGUUAGGCGCAAAGGGAACAAAAAAUCAAUGUGUUUUGAUAUUUCCACUUAAGUUACACACAACAAAUUCGAGCUAAGGAUACUUGAAUCUUAUGCUUGGUGCAACAUUUUGGUGUGUCUUUGUAAGCUAAUUUUUCAUGUGAUUUUUAAAACUCUCCAUUUCCGAUUCAAGAUUGGUUCUAUGAGUAGACUUCGUUGCCGUCAAGAGUCAAAAGUGUCACUACGAUAUUUUAUGAAGGCAAAUCACUUCUGCAUAGAUUUCCUCUCCAUCAAAUGUUUUCGUAUUAAUUUUGUGACAUUGUAACCAGUUCUGUUGUGUUUCAUGUGGUAUGUAUCACUGCCAUAAAUUGCUUUAAUGAAAUAAUCACUUAUUUCAAAUGUCGCAGCUGCAUUAGUAUAAUGUAUGUAUUGAUGUAAAAUUUGGUCAUGUUGUAUGCCACUUGUUUUUAAUGUCUGUCAUGUCGAAUUCAAAUCCAUAAAAUAAAUAUUGAUCAAAUGGUUAACUUGGCAGUCGAUAUAGGAAUAGUAGUCUCAUUGAAAAUGUACUAAAAAAACAAUAUAAUAACAUAUCUAUUGCAAAAGGCGAGCAAGAAAAGGAGGGAAAGUAAUGUAGACUGGAUUUAUCUCCAGCCUAAAAGGGGGAAGCACUUCAUAAAUUAAUGCGUUUAAGCCUGCAACCAUUUAUCUGGCAUACAAAGUCAUGCUACUGUAAACAAUUUAUCAAGCACUUUAAUGUCGUGCUGCUAUGGAUAUGCACGCUUCGAUGGCCAUUUCGCAGCUAUUUAUUAUUGUGGAGACAAAAGCGUAUCGAUUGGUGAUUUUUUUUCCUUAUUAAUAUUUGGUGCAUGUUUUGUUCUGAUUGAAGUAGAGGGCCCUAAUUUUCUGAAAUUUUGUUGACAGAAGAUAGAGAGCGCAUAAAUUAAAAUGCCAUUAAGCAAACGCAUUUUAAAUCUUUGUGCUCUCUGUAUUCUGUCAUCAACGUGCAGCUUCAUUUGGCCUUCAAAACUGUAGUGAUCUACUGAUCUUCUUCCAAGUGCUAUUUGUUAAUUUUCAUUUUAUUAUUAUUUUAUUUGUUCAUAUAUACACACACACACACACAGAGAUACACAGACACACACAUACAUACAUAUACAAUUAUACUCCUAAUAUAAUUAUAACUUUAUAAGUUAUGUAUACACAACUAAACCCAGUGUAUAUAUAUCCUCCAUGUAUGCGUAUCUAUAUUGUGAAAUGAGGCAAUUGGCGGCAUUCAAAAUGAAACCCCGCUUGAGGAGUUGAGAGAGAUUCAGAAUGGGGACUGCUCCUGUGAGCUGCUUUAUCACGGACGCUUUGGGCUUUUCAGAGGAGCAGAAUUAAAAGCCCACUAAUGACUUGGGCUAUUCUUGGAGGCAACCGCAGUCCAUAAAGAAGCAUAAAGCCAUGAACUGUUCCGUUGUUUUGUUCAUUUUUUUCCUUCUAGUCUGAUUCACUUCCGAAGUAGCUGUUGAGAAACUUAAAGAUGAAUAUAAUAUCAUGGACUUUAAUUCUUAAAUUUAACAAAUAUGAGAGUACAUUUUAAAAAAAUUGUAAAAACGUUGUAAGAAAGUAAAAUUUUGAAACAAGCAUGUGAUUAAAACAUAAAUGAAUCCCAACUUUAUUUUGGUUUUAAAGGAAAAAAAAAAAGCACCAUCAAAAAUAAAAUAUUCCUAAAUUUUAGUUGAGGGCAUGAUACGAGAACAUAUAUAAAUACAAGAAGAAUGUGAGAGAUAAUAUUAAGAUUUUUAUAUUUUAAAAUAAUAAAUUUCGUUCAUCUCAAUUUUCAAGUACAUAAUAGAAGUACAAUAGUAGGUCCUCAACUAAUAUGACAAAUUGAAAAAAGUCAUCUAUAAUUGUAUUAAUGUUGUGUCAGUCGAACACAUCAAAGAUUUUAAGUGAUUGAUAAAACAACUACAAUAGAAUAAAAACUCAAUAUACUGGUUUUCAAGUGUUCCAAUAACAAGGAGGACUAAAUAAUUUUUCUUAUAAUCGGGGAAAUUUUGAAACAAAUUAACAAUAUAUCUUUUAAAUUGUAAUCUUCUAUUAUCUAGAUCAAUUGAUUGCACCUGUCUCAACAUCAGAAGAGACAAAGGGCAUUGGAGGGAUCUCCAAGCUUUGAAAAUCAGCUUCAAGCAUUUGUAAUACCAUUGGCAUGGAAGGUCUCUCCGUGGGAUUCCAUUGAAUGCACCAAAGUGCCACAAUUGCAAGCUUUCUGGCAAUUCCCUCAUCCCCAUCUUCCUCAAAUUCCAAACAGAGCUCUUGUCCUUGCCUCAUUCUAUUGUAAAUCCACUCCGGAAAAUAUAUUUGGCUCUGAAUUUCAACCGCAGGAUCAUUAUUUUUUCUGCAUCCGACCAUCUCUAACAGCAUCAUUCCGUAACUGUAAACAUCAGACUUGUAAGAGAUCUCACCAAAAUUCCUGGAGAAAAGUUCAGGUGCAAUGUAGCCAGAAGUGCCUCUGGCAGCUGUCAGAGAUACAAUGCUUAUGUCCUUUGAGCACAACUUAGCCAGUCCAAAAUCUGAAAUCUUCGGUUGAAAAUUAUGGUCUAAUAAUAUAUUGUGAGGCUUGAUAUCGAAGUGCAGGAUCCUCUGGUUGCAUCCUUGGUGCAAGUACUCCACUCCACGGGCAACGCCAAAUGCAAUCUUCCUCAGCUUCUCCCAACUCAAUUGACGGUGACUUGAGCUAUUUGUCUUUGAGAAGAUGAAUUUCUCAAGUGAUCCAUUGGGCAUAAACUCGUAAAUAAGAGCGCGACGAUUCCCUUCAGAGCAAAAUCCCAGAAGCCGAACAAUGUGAAAGUGGUGAAUCCUGCCAAUUGUGGCCACUUCAUUGAUGAACUCUUGUCCAUUUCCUUUUAAAUGUUCCAACAUCUUGACAGCAACUGGAAUUCCGUUGAAGAGUUUUCCUCUGAACACACUUCCAUAACCUCCCUGGCCGAGCCUGUGCUUAAAUCUGCUUGUUAUUUUCUUCAGUUCUUUGUAAGUAUAUCUGGUGGGAUUGACGGUCCUGUAGUUUUCGAGGAACUUCUCCACCUUCAGUUGAGUCUCUUUUUCUUUUUCAGAUUCUCUUGAUCUGUAAAUGAGAAAUAUCACUAAUGCAAAGAGGGUGAUGCCUCCAAUGCUUGUGCCUGUGGAUAUUAGACUUAUUGAUAAAGGGCCAGGACCAUCUGUUAUAUAUAACUAAGAAAAGUUAGUUAAAAAAUUAACUCAAACAAUAAAAUGAGAUGCUAAAAGUCUGGACCCGUGCAAGCUUAACUUGGUAGCAUAAAGACUCUAAUAUCAUUUGAUUGGGUUUUAACAAGUCCCUCUCAUGUGACCAUCUCAUAUAUAGGUAUUUUUUCAUAACUUAAACUAUAAUUAGGUAUCUUAUUCAUAUGGGUGGAUAGAUAAUUAAUUUUUCAUUUAACUAAAUAAAGAAAAAAUAAUAAUAAGCAAAAGGAUGAAAUUAUUUGAACUGCAAAGUAAGCACUCUUUUACCUUACACACUUUAAUUUUAAAAUUUUAACUUUUACUUGAGUACACAAUGAAAACACCAAAAUUAUCACAAUUAGAAAUCUCUGUCUUUAUGUUUUUUUUUUUCCCUUUCUGCAUUCACAAAAUGAUUUUUUUCCCCUCAUCUCUUAUUCCAUGUGAAUAUUGAGGGUUACUUGAUUGAACAAAUUUUUUUCUCAAUAAAUUUUCCAUCAUGAACUUAAUCAUAGAGAAAAAGUAUUAGUAUAAUAAUUCUUCUUAAUUUGUGUUCAUUGAGUACGCAAGAAAAUAUAAUAGGUUAAACUUUUAUCAGGCAUUGUGAGUUUAAUCAAUCUCUCACCAUUUACGAAAAUUAAUUGUAAUAUAAAGAUUCAAAGAUUAAAUUGACGAGAUAGAGAAAAUUAGUAUUAUGUAUUUGGUCCUGAGUAGUAUCAAUUUUUCUUCAAACAGUCAAAUCAGCCUGGCUAGCAACAUUUUAUUAACCAAUCUACAACUGGCACGAAUACCAGAAAGCAGCCUUUAAUAGCAAUGAUAUUCGCCAUACAGAUUAGGGGUAGGUAAAAUUAUAUUUGCCGCCAAAAAAAUGAAUCGUUAGUCUUUUUUUUUUUUGGUUAAAAAAAAAUCCAUCGAUUUAUAUGAGAGAAAAUAAAAAGCCAAAAAAACUAGAAAAACGCAAAAGAAAUUACAGGUCAAAGGGAAAAAAAAAAGCCUAACUAAAUCGAACCAAAUUGAUUGGAUUUUCAAUUCAGUUCAAAUUGUUAAUUUUUUGAAAAACUCACCAUCGGAAUUCAACUAAAUCUAACCAAAAGUGAAAUAUAGAUGGCUUCUUUAAUUUUUAACUUCUAGCAAUUGUAAUUACACUUUUACAAUUGAAAAAAUAAUGCAAAGCCUAAUUAUUAUUAUUUUUUCUUUUCAUUUACACUGCUCUGAUAAAUUUUCCGGCAUAUAUAACAAUGAUAAUAAAUUCAACUUAUUAUUUUUAUUGUUAGCUAAAUAGAGACGAUGCUUUCACUUUCAAGCACUGUAGAGAGAGGUGACUGAGAAAAGAUAUGGUUACUUACGUUUUUGGUGUUUAACGGCAACGCAGAUUGUCGAAUUGCUUGUAGUGUUGAACCCACAAUAAUUCCCUGAAUUUUCGCAGUCGUAGCAUCCAUCAAGAGCUUCCCAUGUUAAGACUACUGGAGUUGCCUUCGCCGUCGUAGCAAUAUCCUGAAGAGGUAAUCCGGCGGGAAUCUCAACUGUUCGAGAUUUUCUACAAUAUGGAGGCAUAUCAUCCAUUGAAGAUUCGCUAUCUAUGGUAUAGACAAGAUUGUUUUCAUUGCUAAGACAAUUGAUCGGUCCAAUUAGUUCAAAUACAGACCGUUCUGCAGCAGCCUUCUCAGUGCAGUUAUAUAAAGCGUAACUUUCAGUAAAGAAUUUGGAGUGUGUGAGGUUGAAAGAGAUAAGACUUUGAAACGGGCAUGCAGUCUCAUUCACAUCUGUAAUGUUAAUACUGCUGUCCAGAUAAGAAAUUUCAUGGACAUAAUAAUCACCAGAGGAAGGAAGAUGCCAGAUUGUCUUGUCACUUAAGCAUGACAAUUCAAACCCUUCAAGGCCACAAGAUAUUGGUUGAGUUUUGAGUCUGAAGGGAUAUCUGAUACUUGGGUUCCUAUUACUGCAAUUUGUUGGUUGACAGAAUUCAUAUUUAUCUGUCUUGUUGUCCUCUGCAGAAGCUUUGGCUAAUGUACAUGUGUAAGGUAAGAAGAGGAAGAGGAUUAUUAAACUCAUCACGAGGGACAUGGAGGGAGAGGGAGAGCGGAGUUUGAGUUAGAGCAGAGUUUGAGUUAUGCUUUUGGAGUAAUAAGGGAGAGGAGAGUUUGAUUGUCAAUUUGUCAUGGAAAAAGGUAGGAAAAUGGGUUUCUUUUAAUUUCUUCUGUUCUUUCCUUCUCUCUUUUCUCCUUUUUCUAAGUCAAUGGUAGCCCCAAAGAGACUAGUCAACUUCAGUAUCUGCCAAUAUCAGAUGCAUGGAGGAACAGGAUGGGACUUGCUGUUUGUGAUAUAGAUUUUAGUGAGAGUUAUGAAAGUAAUUUGUAGGUAGGAAAUGAGAAAAUUAUGUUUUUAAGAUCAAUAAGUAAUGUUCUUUAGAAAACCGGUAAUUCCUAGCAGCUACCCUCCGCUUACCAUGAUAUAUCAGUGUGAGACUAAGGGUAUGUUUAGGGUUGAUGGGAACUAUGUGUCUUUUAAUUCACCACUGUUGUGGGAUUGAAUUAUUAGCUAUUAAGCAAAAGUGGAUGUGUGGUGAUAUUUAGGUGUCUCCCAUAUACUUUGGUAAUUGUACUUUAAAUUAAGUUGAGGAGGAGCACAGAGUUCAAAGCAUACUCUAGCUCAAUCAGAUAUGCAGCAAGCAGCGUUGCAAAAGGUUGAUGAAUGUACAUGAUCACGUGACAAACCUACAUCAUAUUCUGGUCGAUAUGAGCAAAAUUGGAAUCUUCACAUCAAACAAUGAAUCGUACUGAAAUUUUUCAACAUAAUGUUUUAGAAGCUCUGGUAGCAUAAGGACAAUUUAUUUCUUUUUUACACAUAUCAUUGCCAAAAUUAAGCAUAACUAUCAUUGAAAGAACAUUCCUCAGUCCAUUCAGACACUAAGAACUCUGUUGAAGAAUCUGAUUCAAUCUCUCUUCCGGAGAUAUGUCGAGAAGAAGAGAAGCAAGGUUUAGGAGGCAUUUGCAAAUCGUCCAUACUCCCUUCUAACAUUUCCAAAACUUUUGUCAUGGAGGGGCGAUCAGCUGCCUUCACCUGAAUACACCAUAAACCAAUCAUACACAGUUUCCUUGCAAUCACGGACUCAAUUUCAGUCACAUUCCGAAGCUCUAAAUCACCUCCCUUAUUUAAUUGGUCAUAUACCCAAGAUGGGAAAUAUGCUUUGCUUGAACGAAUUGCGUUCAUAUUAGAAUUCCUUCUUCCUCCAGCCAUUUCCAGCAACACCAUCCCAAAACCGUAAACAUCUGACUUGCAAGAAACAGUUCCAAAAUUUCUUGAAAUCAGCUCCGGUGCUAUGUAUCCUAUGGUUCCUCUUGUGGCACUGAUGGACACAAAAUCAUUUUCCUUGGGAUGAAACUUUGCAAGGCCGAAAUCUGAGACCUUUGGGAUGAAAUUAUGAUCUAGUAGGAUGUUGUGAGGCUUAAUGUCAAAAUGCAGAAUGCACAUAUCACAUCCGUUAUGUAAAUACGCGACCCCACGAGCUGUUCCUAAGGCAAUUUCCUGGAGUUUCUCCCAACCAAAAGUUUGGCCUUUAUUUUCCUUGGGAAAGAUAUGCCUGUCGAGUGAUCCAUUAGGCAUAAACUCGUAGACAAGUGCACGUUUGGAUCCCUCAGAACAGAACCCCAAUAACUGGACCACAUUAACGUGGUGAAUUCUACCUAUUGUUGAAACUUCGUUGAUGAAUUCCUCCGCACUGAACUUGGAGUUCUCCAGCAUCUUAACAGCAAUCAAGCGACCGGUAUGAAGUUGUCCUUUAUAAACUGAACCAAAGCCACCUUGGCCUAAUUUAUGAGUGAAGUGGUUUGUCACGGCAAUUAUCUCAGGGUAAGAGUACCUUUUAGGCAUCCACGAUUGCUGGUUGUGCAGAAAUUUCUCAAUAUUAUCAACUGUUUGCAAUGUCGUUCUCUAUUUGUGGAUAAGGAACACGAGAAAGACUAUUGGAGCAAGAAUAAAUCUACCAAUUAUCAGAACAUCAACUGGAAACCCUGGAAAAGAGAACGUUUAUUGAAAGUAAAUAGUAGUAAGCAAAGCAAUAAAAAGAGGAUCCUGGAGAGGAGAUUUUACCUAACAGAAAACUUAUCCAAACCCCCAGUCUUGAUUCUAUGUUACGGUAGGAACGCCGCGAGAUUUCAUGGAAAACUGCAGUUGGAGAUAGAAAAAAUUAAGCUUUAUAUCUAAUCAGAGAAAUGAUUCAGAAAAAAGUUAGAAAGUAAAAGAUUAGAGAGUACAUAAAGCCAUCACAUUUAUUAACAUCGAAAACCCAUAAGCAAAAUGAUAUGUAAGGAUCUGCUUACGUAUGUCAUCUUGGUAGCAAAUAAAUUUUCUGAUUAUUCCUCCAUAGUAAUCAUUGCAUUCUGGAAAGACUGCAAAAGUGAAAAAGAAACAGAAAUUAAAGGUCAUAUCGGUAUGCUCUUAGAGAUAGUUCACAAAUUCUUUAUUACGUAGAAUAUUGGAAAACAAAAACAAAGCCCUUGCAUUUGAAUGCAUAAAUAAAUAUAAGCAUAAGCUUACAGUGAGUCAUUGGGAGGCUCCAGCUCCAAUCUGACCAUGUAAGAUCGAACCCUGACUCCAGCAAUUUUCGGAGGUCUUCAUAAGAAGGUUUGUCCACGCUCCCAUUAAGUACUACAGGAACCUUUGUAAUGAAGGCGCAUGAGUCUGGAAGAUGUGUGGUUUCGAUGAAAUCAGGUGCAACAUAAACAUAGACAUUCGACUGAUUGUUACUCAAACAUGGAACUUUCGCAUACGCCUGAUCAACAAUAUUACUCGAGCAAUUCACGUAAUAGGCGUAUGAAUUAAGAUUGUAAUCAAAAUAAUAUCUGAAAAUUAAACCAGGUGGGGAAAAAGAAGUGGAUGGGAAGCUGCAGCUUCCAUAGGCUAAGUUAGCAUCGACAACACUGAUUGUACUCUUAUCAUAGGAAAUUCUCUUCACAUAGUACUUUCCAGAAUUGGAUUCUAAGAUGGUUUUGUUGCUCUCGCAAGAAAGUUCUAACUCCGGAUGACCGCAUCCAGCUGGAUCGCCCUUGAGGUGAAGAGGGUAGCUUAUGUUUUUGCCAUCUCCACAAGAAGAAGAACACUUUUCUACUUCAAGUUUUCUUGCUUCAAUUUCACUGGUGCUGAAUACAAACAUCAACAGACAAAACAGAAAAGUUGAGAAAAUUGAAGCUUCUUCACUACUCAUUGCUCCUCCAAUUGCAGGACACAAAUAACGAAUUUGAAUCAACUAAGCAGAACGGUGUAUAAGUGUUAAUGCACUACGUUUUCUACCGUUUCAUUUGCACGGUGAGAGGCGAGCUUUAAACUUAUCAUAGUUUAGUAUACAACUAUGUGAUUGAAUUAAUUAGCACUGUUGUGUGUGAAAGCAAAUCCAGAAAGCCCAAACGACAGAAGACCUUGCGUUUGAAGCUGAAAUCACUUAAGCCAAACGACAGAGAUACGUGCGUUUUGAUGAGCAAAUUAAACGCUCCUCAGAACGACAUACAAGCUUGCCGUUUAGCUUUAAGUAACGCAUGCGAACAUCACGUGCUUGUAUCCAGCUCACAAGGUUCGUUAAAAUGCCGUUAAAGCACGAGGAACUCACGUGAGUUGCUGGGUAAUUCUGGGUUCAUUAUGAAGCUGUUAUGAAGCAGCUGAUUCUGGUGCAAGAGAUUCAAGAGUGUAGAGAGCUGUAGAGAGAGAUAGGGCUGGAAUAAAUAAGCAGUCCAGAUCUUGUAUUAAGGCUCAUAGCAUUGCUCUGUAAAUCAUCUUGAGAAUCAAUGAAAGCUGGUCAUAUUUGCCCUCCCGUGGAUGUAAGCUAGAGAGAUCUAGCUGAACCACGUUAAACCUUUCUUGUUCCUUGCUCUUUCUAAUUCUUCUGUUUUCUUAAUUCUGUUUGGUUGAUCAUCAUCACUUCCAUUAAUUCAACUUAGUUAGAUUCUGUAGUAAUCAAUCUUGAAGCAUCUUGGUGAAUUUGGUUUGCGAUCUUUGGCAGGAUCUAAGGUUGCUUGGUCUGUUUAUAGCAUCUUAGGUUCUACAAGCACCAAAAUAAUUUGUUUAAAAAUAAUAUUAAUUAUUCAUAAAAAUGAAAUCGACACGAUGGAAGAAAAUUUUUAAUUACUCAGCGCUGGGCUUUUAGCAUUAAUGCAAUGGAAGAUAAAGGGACAAAUUUGGAUAAACAUGUUCAAUUUCGUUUCUUACGGCAAAUUUUUCAUGCGGAUGCCAGGAAGCUUCUGAAGAGGUGUAAGCUUUCAAAUUUCAAUGGGGAAGUCCAUACGGCAAAGUGAAGUCACUUAAUUUCCUGGUAAUUGUAAAUGAGUUAGCAUCGGUGGGAAUGGGAUGAUCCGUCCCCAUCCUAGCUUGACCUCAAGUUUCUAAGUAAAUGUUCUUCAAUAUUAAAAGCGAUAGAACUUAUUGGAAACAUUUUCCAUACAUGUUGUCCAAUUCCAGUAAAUAUCUUUUGCUUUCUUAAUUUUUCUCACCACCAAACGCAAUGGCUUACUUUAUUUAUUUAUUUACUUUAACAGGAUUUGGAGAAACGCGGCAUUGGAAAUUUGGAACGGCCCCCGACGACCAACACCUUUAAAGUGACCGACAUGCAGAAGAAUGAGGACUUCUCAUCUCAUGUCAUGUUCACGCGUUUCUAAAAAUUAUGGUUUGCUGUUGUAAUUAUUAUUAUUAUUAUCAUUACUACUACUACUUUGAAUAAAAAAAUUUAUUUAUAUUUAAAAUUAAGUUAAAUUCCGUCAUGUCCCUAAAUAUUUCAACAUUUUCCACCGCGUCCCCAAAUCUUUCAAUAAUUUCCACGCCACACUCAAAUCUAUUAAUUUGACCGUUUAUUCUAAUGGUCAAAGGAAAAAUUUAGAAGUUCAUGCCCUAAAUAUUAUUUGAUGAUAAUAGAUUAAAUUUAUUUGAUAAAUUAAUUGAUGGGAUUAUUAUUAAUUACCUUUAAUUAAGAAUUUUUAUCUCAUUUAAUUCUUCUCUAAUUCAAGAUAAGGGACGUUUAGGAUAUUUAACUAAAUUUCAAAUAACUCCGUUAAAAAUAACGGUCAAAUUAAUGGAAUUAGGUGUAAGGUGGAAAUUAUUAAAACAUUUGGGUGUGCGGUGGAAAAUAUCGAAACAUUUGCGGGCUGGGUGGAAAUAACGCGUAAAAUUACGAUCAGGUGCGCACAAUCGCACAAUAUAUAAUGCAUGAUAAGUUUUUAUAUUGUAGGCGUGUGUGGCGGCAUGUAUAUGCCAUAUAGUGCAUUAGUAUUUUUAUUAAUUUUUUCAAUUAACUAAUAUACAAUAUAUUUCUGUAGUGUAUUGAAAUCUAAAUUUUUUUUUAUCUUUUAUCUUAUCCCUUACUUUUGACAAAUCAAUUAUGUCAAAAAAGGCCAUGAGAAUAUGAGUUUAUCCUUGCGCAUUGGGGACUAUUUGGGCUUUUAAAUUAUUUAAAUUUCGAAUGCCUAAUGUGAGUUGGGUUUCAUAUUGAGACCACCAAAAUUCAGAAGAAAAAAAACAUAAAUCGUGAUUAUGGAAACAAGUAAAUAUAUCAAAUAAUGAUAUUGUAAAAUUAACGGUCAACUACAUAGUUUAAUCAGAGGAUGUGAUGGCAUAUAAUAGAUUAUUAGAAUAACAAAAGAGAUGAUAUUAAUAAAAAAAUUUUAUCAUAUACAACGUUCAUUAAUAUCAAGUAGAUUAGAGUACAAAUGGUAUAAUUUAUAACAAAACUUUAAAUCAAUUUAUAUGUUACUCAUCACACACAGGAUAUAGAUGGAAAAGUUAGACCAACGAUAUAAUACUAGUUAGGCCAAAGGGAAAAAAAUUCAACGUGUCUUGAUAUUUCCACUUAAGUUACACACAACAGAUUCGAGGUAAGGAUACUUGAAUCUUAUGCUUGGUGCAACAUUUUGAUAUGUCUUCGUAAGCUAAUUUUUCAUGUGAUUUUUAAAACUUUCCAUUUCCGAUUCAAGAUUGGUUCUGUGAGUACUGAGUAGACGUCUUUGCUCCUCCAAUUCCAGGACACAAUUAACGAAUUUGAAUAAACUAAGCAGAACGGUGUAUAAGUGUACAUGAACGUUGGCGCAUUCAAUGGAAUUGCCAAUUCCAACGGUGUAUAAGUGUACGUGAACCAAUUCCAGGACACAACUAACGAAUUUGAAUAAACUAAGCAGAACGGUGUAUAAGUGUUAAUGCGCUAUGUUUUCUGCAGUUUCACUUGCACGGUGAGAGGCGGGCUUUAAACUUAUCAUAGUUUAGUAUACAACUAUGUGAUUGAAUUAAUUAGCGCUAAAUAAUUUGUUUAAAAAAACUAUUAAUUAUUCAUCAAAUGAAAUCGACACGAUGGAAGAAAAUUUUUAAUUACUGAGUGCUGGGCUUCUAGCAUUAAUGCAAUGGAAGAUAAAGGGACAAAUCUAGAUAAACAUGUUCAAUUUCGUUUCUUACUGUAAAUUUUGUAUGCGGAUGCCGCGUAGCUUCUGAAGUCUCUUUCCACGAUUUGUUUAGGUGGAAGCUCUCAGAUUUCAAUGGGGAAGUCAAUACGGCAAAGUGAAGUCGCUUAAUUUCCCGGUAAUUGUAAAUGAGUUAGCAUCGGUGGGAAUGGGAUGAUCCAUCCAUCCCCAUCCUAGCUUGACCUCAAUUUUCUUAGUAAACGUUCUUCAAUAUUAAAAGCGACAUAACUUAUUGGAAACAGUUUCCAUGCAUGCAGUCCAAUUCCAAUCAAUAUCUUUCGCUUUCUUAAUUUUUCUCACCAAACGCAAUGGCUUACUUUAUUUAUUUAUUUAUUAAUUUUAACAGGAUUUGGAGAAACGCGGCAUUGGAAAUUUGGAACGCCCCCCGACGACCAACACUUUUAAAGCGACCGACACGCAGAAGAACGAGGACUUCUCAUGUCAAGUUCACGCGUUUCUAAAAAUUAUGGUUGCUGUUGUAAUUAUUAUUGUUACUAUUAUUAUUUUUAUGAAUUAAGAAAGAUAUAUAUAUAUAUAUAUAUGUAUGUAUGUAUUUAAAAUUAUGAUCAGAUGCAUCGCAAAAUAUAUAAUGUAUGAUAAGUUUUUAUGUUGUAGGCGUGUGUGACGGCACAUAUAUGCCAUUUAGUGCAUUAGUGUUUUUAUUAACUUUUUUCAAUUAACUAAUAUAUAAUAUAUUAGUAAAUUCAUGUUUUAAAAGAUGCAGAAUUCCACACAUGACAAAAUAUAUGUGUGUAUGUGUCUAUAUAUACAAACACUUUUGACAAAUCGGUUAUGUCAAAAAAGGCCAUGAGAAUAUGAGUCUAUCUUUGCGUAUUGGGGAUUAUUUAAGCUUUUUAAUGAUUUAAACUUUGAAUGCCCAAUAUGAGUUGGGCUUCAUAUUGAGAACCCCAAAGUAAAAAAAAAAAAAAACAUAAAUUGUUAGACUAUGAUUAUGGAAACAAGUAAAUAUAUCAAAUAAUGAUAUUGGAAAAUUAAUGGUCGAAUACAUAGUUUGAUCAUGGGAUAUGACAACAUAUAAUGAUAUUAAUAAUUUUUUUUAUCAUAUACGACGUUCAUUAAUCUCAAGUAGAUUAGAGUACAAAUGGUAUAAUUUUUGACUAAAAUUUAAAUCAAUUUAUAUGUUAUUCAUCACACACAGUAUAUAGAUAGAAAAAGUUAGACCACCGAUAAAAUACUAGUUAGGCGCAAAGAGAAAAAAAAAAUCAAUUUGUCAUGAUAUUUCCACUUAACUUACAUACUACAGAUUCGAGCUAAGGAUACUUGAAUCUUAUGCUUGGUGCAACAUUUUGAUGUGUCUUCGUAGGCUAAUUUUUCAUGUGAUUUUCAAAACUCUCCAUUUCCGAUUCAGGAUUGGUUUUAUGAGUAGCUCUCUUUGCCGUCAAGAGUCAAAGUGUCACCAUGAUAUUUUAUGAAGGCAAAUCACUUCCGCAGAGAUUUCCUCUCUGUCAAAUGUUUUCGUAUUAAUUUUGUGACAUUUUAACGAGUCCUGUUGUGUUUCAUGCGGCAUGUAGUUCUACUGUAAAUGGCUUUAAUGAAAUAGUCGCUCAUUUCAAAUGUCACAGACUCGCAGCUGCAUUAGUAUAAUGUAUAUAUUGAUUUAAAAUUUGGUCAUGUUGUAUGCCACUUGUUUUUAAUAUUUGUCAGGUCGAAUUCAAAUCCAUAAAAUAAAAUAUUGAUCAAAUGAUUAACUUAGUAGCCGAUAUGGCAAUAGCAGUCUCUUUGAAAAUGUGCUGCUAAAAAACACAAUAUAAUAACAUAUCUAUUGUAAAAGGCGGACAAGAAAAGGAGGGAAAGCAAUGUAGACUUGAUUUAUCUCCAGCUUAACAGGGGGAAGCACUUCAUAAAUUAAUGCUUUUAAGCCUGCAAACAUUUAACUAGCAUCAUGCAUACAAAUACCUUGCUACUGUAAACAAUUUAUCAAGUACUUCAAUUUCGUGCUGCUGUGGAUAUGCCUGCUUCCAAGGCUAUUCAGCUGCUAUUUAUUAUUGUGGAGACAAAAGCAUAUCGAUUGGUGAUUUUUUUUUCCUCUUUAAUAUUUGGUGCAUGUGUUUGUUCUGAUUGAAGUAGAGGGUGCUAAUUUUCUGAAAUUUUGUUGACAGAAGAUAAAGAGCACAUAAAUUAAAAUGUCAUUAACCAAACGCAUUUUAAAUCUUUGUGCUCUAUGUAUUCUGUCAUCAACGUGUAGCUUCAUUUGACCCUCAAAAUUGUAGUGAUCUACUGAUCUUCUACCAAGUGCUACUCGAUAAUUUUCGUAUGAUUAUUAUUUUGUUUGUUCACACACACACACACAUAUACAUAUAUACUUGUAGUAUAAUUAUAACUUUGUAAGUUAUGUAUACACAACUACACCCAGUGUAUAUAUAAUAUUAUAUAUAUCCUCCAUACAUGCAUAUGAGCAUAUCUAUAUUGUGAAAUGAGGCAAAUGGCGGCAUUAAAAGCCCACUAAUGACUUGGCAGAUUCAGAAUUGGGACUGCUCCUGUGACCUGCUUCAUCGUGGACGCUUUGGGCUUUUCAUAGGAGCAGAAUUAAAAAGCCCACUAAUGAAUUGGGCUAUUCUUGGAGGCAACCACAGUCCAUAAAGAAACAUAAAGCCAUGAACUGUUCCCUUUUUUGGUUUAUUUUUUUCCUUCUAGUCUGAUUCACUUCCAAAGUAGCUGUUUGACAAACUUAAAGAUGAAUAUAAUAUCAUGGACUUUAAUUCUUAAAUUUAACAAAUAUGAGAGCACAUUUAAAAAAAGAAUCAUAAGAACGUGGUAAGAAAGUAAAAUUUUGAAACAAGCAUGUGAUUAAUUAAAACAUAAAUGAAUCCUAACUUUAUUUUGGUCUUAAGGAAAAAAAAAUCAUCAUGAAAAAUGAAAGCUUCCUAAAUUUUAUUUGAGCGCAUGAUACGACAACAUAUACAAAUACAAGAAGAAUAUGAGAGAUAAUAUUAAGAUUUUUAUAUUUUAAAAAAAUAAAUUUCAUUCAUCUCAAUUCUCAAGUAGGUAAUAGAAAUACAGUAGUAGGUCCUCAACUAAUAUUCAGAUCAAUUUACACGCAACUCAUCAUAGUAGUUUAGAUGGACAGGUCAUUGAUAUUUUAUAACCCCCCACCUAUAACUUUCUUACAACGAAUUCAAAUUAGUGAUCAUUAAGAAUGUUUGAAUCGUACGUUCAGCGCAAUAUUUGAUGUGUUUUAAGUAAUUUAAAAAGAAAUUUAACGAAUAAAAUAUAUAAAAUAAGAUUUUAUUAGCUAUGCUAAGGCCAUCAAUAAUUUUUUUAUUUUUUAUUUUGUUUCUAGCCGAAACUUAUCCUUCGAGAUUUGGUUCUACAAGUAGACCUCCUUCACCUUGCCGUCAAAAGUCAAGUGCCAUGUAAUGAGUGUAGGAUAUGAUGGAAAAUCAUUUUAACAUGAUAAAAAAAUGAAUCUCGAACCUUUUGACUAAAAUUCACUUUUUAAUUAAAAACCUUAUUUUGUAACGUGCCCUCCGCAACUCGUUGGAAUCAAAAGCAUUUAUUACAAAUUCGAGUACUUUUUUCGUUUGUGCACUUUUGCACUUUUUUACAGAUUUAUUAUAAACAAAUAAUUAUAAUUUAAUUUCAGCAGCACUUAAUUAAUUAAAAAUGAAUUUUAAAUCUUUAACUACCUCAAUGAACCAAAUUUUAUUAUCUACUAAUCACUUUUAAUCGAUUUAUCAAAAGUAAUCAAUCCUUCUCAAUUAAUUGUUUCUUUUUUAAAUUUUAAUUUACUCCUAAGUCUUAAAUAUAUCAUAAUAUGAGGAAGUAGUGUUUAUACAACAGAACCCAAUUAUUAUAAACACCCAAAAAAAAAAAAAACAAAAAAGAGGACAGAGCGAGAGAAAGAAAACAAAAAAGAUGGAAAAUUUACAGCAAUAAAAGAACCCCAAAGAGCUCCUAAAAAAUUCCGAAAAAAUAUUAAAAAAACUAAAAUUCCUAAAAAUUCUAAACUAAUUAACAAAAAACAAAAAAGAAAGAAAGAAAGCGUAUGGUCGAAACUACCACCAACUCAUUGUUAAUCCAAUCCCAGGAUACGAUGAAUGUCAAUAAAUUAAACAGAAGGCCGCAUUUUCAAAGUUUUGGAUACGUAUUUACAUCAUUACUUGACAAUUUAGUAAAUAUAUUAUAGCAUUCAACUAUCUGAUUCUACUAGCUGAAAAUGAUUUAGCAAUAAUUAAUUGUUCAAAAAUAGUAUUAUCUUAUUCUUAAAAAAAAUCAACAAAGAUGGGGAAAUUAAAAAGGUUUAAAAGAGCAUAUUAAUUUUAUUUGUUGAGUGCAAGACUCGUAGCAUUCAUGCAAUGGGGGAUUUCGGACACUCUUACAAGUCAGUCAACUCUCAGUAAACGUUUUGAUUGCAAGUUUGCGUCGGUGAUGAUUUUUUGUCAUUACUUUUGGUAAAAUAAUGAAGAAAAUUUCCACUUCAGAGUUUUAAGUUAAGCUUAGCACACCUCUAGUUAUAUUCUUUUGCCACCAAUAUGGACAGAUUCAAAUCUCAAACUUGUUGUAUCAACUCAAAAGAUUUCAACAACUAAAUUAUCUAUCACUCGCGAAAAGUGUGUGCAUUAGGCUCCAAUUCGAGAUAAAGCAAUGAGAAGAAGAAUAACAUUUGUCAUUAAUUGCACGCUAUUCAUUUAUUUAUUUUACAUUCAUCAUUGGAAAAAUGAAACCUAAAUAUCACUGAAAGAUCAUUCCUUCACUGAUUCAGACAUUAACAACUCCGUUGAAGAAUCUGAUUCAAUCUCUCUUCCGGAUAUAUGACGAGAAGAAGAUGAGAAAGGUUUUGGAGGCAUUUGCAAAUCGUCAAUACUCCCUUCUAAAAUUUCCAAAACUUUUUGUCACAGAGGAGCGAUCAGCGCCUUAGUCACAGCUCAGGUAAUAUUUUAACCUAUAUAUUGUUCCUCCUGUGGCGCUGAUGGGAGCAAAAUCAUUUUCCUUGGGAUGAAAUUUUGCAAGGGCCGAAAUCUGAGCCGUUGGGGAAGGAAUUAGGAUCUAGCAGGAUGUUGUGAGACUUAAAUGUUGAAAUGAAGACUGCACACAUCACAUCCGGCCGUUCUGUAAAUACUCGAUCCCGCGAGCCUUUUCUAAAGCAACCUAGCUCAUGGAGUUUCUGCCAACUACCCUCCUUGGGAACUAUAAGCCUAUCAAUAAAGGAAUGCUCUUUCAGUAGUUAUGCUUUUUUUUUUUUUUCAAUGAUGGUUUAAAAAUAGACUAAAGUUUUCGUAUNNNNNNNNNNNNNNNNNNNNNNNNNNNNNNNNNNNNNNNNNNNNNNNNNNNNNNNNNNNNNNNNNNNNNNNNNNNNNNNNNNNNNNNNNNNNNNNNNNNNNNNNNNNNNNNNNNNNNNNNNNNNNNNNNNNNNNNNNNNNNNNNNNNNNNNNNNNNNNNNNNNNNNNNNNNNNNNNNNNNNNNNNNNNNNNNNNNNNNNNNNNNNNNNNNNNNNNNNNNNNNNNNNNNNNNNNNNNNNNNNNNNNNNNNNNNNNNNNNNNNNNNNNNNNNNNNNNNNNNNNNNNNNNNNNNNNNNNNNNNNNNNNNNNNNNNNNNNNNNNNNNNNNNNNNNNNNNNNNNNNNNNNNNNNNNNNNNNNNNNNNNNNNNNNNNNNNNNNNNNNNNNNNNNNNNNNNNNNNNNNNNNNNNNNNNNNNNNNNNNNNNNNNNNNNNNNNNNNNNNNNNNNNNNNNNNNNNNNNNNNNNNNNNNNNNNNNNNNNNNNNNNNNNNNNNNNNNNNNNNNNNNNNNNNNNNNNNNNNNNNNNNNNNNNNNNNNNNNNNNNNNNNNNNNNNNNNNNNNNNNNNNNNNNNNNNNNNNNNNNNNNNNNNNNNNNNNNNNNNNNNNNNNNNNNNNNNNNNNNNNNNNNNNNNNNNNNNNNNNNNNNNNNNNNNNNNNNNNNNNNNNNNNNNNNNNNNNNNNNNNNNNNNNNNNNNNNNNNNNNNNNNNNNNNNNNNNNNNNNNNNNNNNNNNNNNNNNNNNNNNNNNNNNNNNNNNNNNNNNNNNNNNNNNNNNNNNNNNNNNNNNNNNNNNNNNNNNNNNNNNNNNNNNNNNNNNNNNNNNNNNNNNNNNNNNNNNNNNNNNNNNNNNNNNNNNNNNNNNNNNNNNNNNNNNNNNNNNNNNNNNNNNNNNNNNNNNNNNNNNNNNNNNNNNNNNNNNNNNNNNNNNNNNNNNNNNNNNNNNNNNNNNNNNNNNNNNNNNNNNNNNNNNNNNNNNNNNNNNNNNNNNNNNNNNNNNNNNNNNNNNNNNNNNNNNNNNNNNNNNNNNNNNNNNNNNNNNNNNNNNNNNNNNNNNNNNNNNNNNNNNNNNNNNNNNNNNNNNNNNNNNNNNNNNNNNNNNNNNNNNNNNNNNNNNNNNNNNNNNNNNNNNNNNNNNNNNNNNNNNNNNNNNNNNNNNNNNNNNNNNNNNNNNNNNNNNNNNNNNNNNNNNNNNNNNNNNNNNNNNNNNNNNNNNNNNNNNNNNNNNNNNNNNNNNNNNNNNNNNNNNNNNNNNNNNNNNNNNNNNNNNNNNNNNNNNNNNNNNNNNNNNNNNNNNNNNNNNNNNNNNNNNNNNNNNNNNNNNNNNNNNNNNNNNNNNNNNNNNNNNNNNNNNNNNNNNNNNNNNNNNNNNNNNNNNNNNNNNNNNNNNNNNNNNNNNNNNNNNNNNNNNNNNNNNNNNNNNNNNNNNNNNNNNNNNNNNNNNNNNNNNNNNNNNNNNNNNNNNNNNNNNNNNNNNNNNNNNNNNNNNNNNNNNNNNNNNNNNNNNNNNNNNNNNNNNNNNNNNNNNNNNNNNNNNNNNNNNNNNNNNNNNNNNNNNNNNNNNNNNNNNNNNNNNNNNGGCCGUACAGCAGUAUUAUUUUAAAUGUAAAAAAUAAUUUAAUAUUAUUAGUCUACUGGAUAGAUUAUAUUAUUUAUAUUAAAUUUUAAUUAAAUAAAAAACUUCAAAGUCAAUUUCCUAAUUAAUAAAUUCAAAGGGUAUUAUGAUUAAAAAUGGGUCUUGAUGUCUCAUUUUAAAAACUUGAGAGUUUUUGUAAUUAUUUUCUCACACCUUAAGGGUAUAAUUAUCUUUUUUCCUCAAUAAUAUUAUAAAUUGAAAAAAUUCAUCCAUAGUUGUAUUAAUGUUGUAUCACUCGAACACAUCAAAGAUUUUAAGCGAUAAAUAAAACAACCAGAGUCAAACAAAAACUCAAUUUAGUGGUUUUCAAGCGUUCCAAUAACAAGAAGGACUAAAUAAUUUAGCUUAUAAUCGGGGAAAAUUUGAAAUAAAUUAACAAUAUCCCUUUUUAAUUGUAAUCUUCUGCUAUCUAGAUCAAUUGAUUGCACCUGCCUCAACAUCAGCAGAGACAAAGGGCAUUGGAGGGAUCUCCAAGCUUUGUAAAUCAGCUUCAAGCAUUUGUAAUACCAUUGGCAUGGAAGGUCUCUCCGUGGGAUUCCAUUGAAUGCACCAAAUUGCCACAAUUGCAAGCUUUCUCGCAAUUCCCUCAUCCCCAUCUUCCUCAAAAUCCAAACAGAGCUCUUGUCCUAGCCUCAUUCUAUUGUAAAUCCACUCUGGAAAAUAUAUUUGGCUCUGAAUUUCAACCGCAGGAUCAUUAUUUUUUCUGCAUCCGACCAUCUCUAACAGCAUCAUUCCGUAACUGUAAACAUCAGACUUGUAAGAGAUCUCACCAAAAUUCCUGGAGAAAAGUUCAGGUGCAAUGUAGCCAGAAGUGCCUCUGGCAGCUGUCAGAGAUACAAUGCUUAUGUCCUUUGAGCACAACUUAGCCAGUCCAAAAUCUGAAAUCUUCGGUUGAAAAUUAUGGUCUAAUAAUAUAUUGUGAGGCUUGAUAUCGAAGUGCAGGAUCCUCUGGUUGCAUCCUUGGUGCAAGUACUCCACUCCACGGGCAACGCCAAAUGCAAUCUUCCUCAGCUUCUCCCAACUCAAUUGACGGUGACUUGAGCUAUUUGUCUUUGAGAAGAUGAAUUUCUCAAGUGAUCCAUUGGGCAUAAACUCGUAAAUAAGAGCGCGACGAUUCCCUUCAGAGCAAAAUCCCAGAAGCCGAACAAUGUGAAAGUGGUGAAUCCUGCCAAUUGUGGCCACUUCAUUGAUGAACUCUUGUCCAUUUCCUUUUAAAUGUUCCAACAUCUUGACAGCAACUGGAAUUCCGUUGAAGAGUUUUCCUCUGAACACACUUCCAUAACCUCCCUGGCCGAGCCUGUGCUUAAAUCUGCUUGUUAUUUUCUUCAGUUCUUUGUAAGUAUAUCUGGUGGGAUUGACGGUCCUGUAGUUUUCGAGGAACUUCUCCACCUUCAGUUGAGUCUCUUUUUCUUUUUCAGAUUCUCUUGAUCUGUAAAUGAGAAAUAUCACUAAUGCAAAGAGGGUGAUGCCUCCAAUGCUUGUGCCUGUGGAUAUUAGACUUAUAGAUAAAGGGCCAGGACCAUCUGUUACAAUAAAAUGAGAUGCUAAAAGUUAGUUAAAAAAUCAACUCAAAGAAUAAAAUGAGACGCUAAAAGUUUGGACCCGUGUAAGCUUAACUUGGUAGCAUAAAGACUCAAUAUUAUUUGAUUGGGUUUUAACAAGUCCCUCUCAUGUGACCAUCUCAUAUAGAUAUUUGUCCAUAACUUAAAUGAUAAUUAUAUAUCUUAUUCACAUGGGUGGAUAGAUAAUUAGGUCGUCAUUUAACUAAAUAAUGAAAAAAUAUUAAUAAGGAGAAGGAUGAAAUUAUUUGAACUGCAAAGUAAGCACUCUUUCACCUUGCACACUUCAAUUUUAAAAUUGUAAUUUUUACUCAAGCACACAAUGAAAACACCAAAAUGAUCACAAUUAGAAAUCCCUAUCAUUAUGCUUUUUUUUUGCCUUUCUGCAUUCACAAAAUGAUUUUUUUUCCCUCGUCUCUUAUUCCAUGUGAAUAUUGAGGGUCACUUAAUUAAACAAAUUUUUUUUCUCAACAAAUUUGCCAUCAUGAACGUUUUUUUCUCAACAAAUUUGCCAUCAUCUUAAUUUGUAUUCAUUGAGGACGCAAGAAAAUAUAAUAGAUUAAACUUUUAUCAGGCAUUGUGAGUUUAAUCAAUCUCUCACCAUUAACGAAAAUUAAUUGUAAUAUAAAGAUUCAAGAUUAAAUUGACGAGAUAGAGAAAAUUAGUACUAUCUAUUUGGUCCUGAGUAGUAUCAGUUUUUCUCCAAACAGUCAAAUCAGCCAGGCUAGCAACAUUUUAUCGAGCACUCUACAACUAGCAAUAAUACUGGAAAGCAGCUUUUAUAGCAAUGAUAUUCGUCAUACAGAUUAGGGGUGGGUAAAAUUAUAAUUGCCGCCAAAAAACAAAUCGUCAGUUUUUUUUUUUUUUGUAAAAAAAAAUCCAUCGAUUUAUAUGAGAGAAAGUAAAAAACCAAAAAAACUAGAAAAACGCAAAAGAAAAUGCAGGUCAAAUGAAAAAAAAUAAAUAAAUAAAACCUAACUAAAUCGAACAAAUUGAUUGGACUUUCAGUUCAGUUCAAAUUAUUAAUUUUUUGAAAAACUGACCAUCGGAAUUCAACUAAAUCUAAGUUCUAACCUUUGCCCAGUGCCCACCCCUAAAAUAAUAUAGAUGGCUUCUUUAAUUUUUAACUUCCAGCAAUUGUAAUUACACUUUUACAAUUGAAAAAAUAAUGCAAAGCCUAAUUAUUAUUAUUUUUUUUCAGUUACACUGCUCUGAUCAUUUUUCCAAUAGAGACGAUGCUUUCACUUUCAAGCACUGUAGAGAGAGGUGACUGAGAAAAGAUAUGGUUACUUACGUUUUUGGUGUUUAACGGCAACGCAGAUUGUCGAAUUGCUUGUAGUGUUGAACCCACAAUAAUUCCCUUAAUUUUCGCAGUCGUAGCAUCCAUCAAGAGCUUCCCAUCCUAAGACUACUGGAGUUGCCCUCGCCGUCGUGGCAAUAUCCUGAAGAGGUAAUCCACCAGGAAUCUCAACUGUUCCAGAUUUUCUGCAAGAUGGAGGCAUAUCCUCCACUGAAGAUUCGCUAUCUAUGGUACAGACAAGAUUGUUUUCAUUGCUAAGACAAUUGAUCGGUUCAAUUGGUCCAUACGAAGUCCAUCCUGGGGAAGCCUUCUCAAUUCACAUCUGUAAUGUUAAUACUGCUGUCCAGAUAAGAAAUUUCAUGGACAUAAUAAUCACCAGAGGAAGGAAGAUGCCAGAUUGUCUUGUCACUUAAGCAUGACAAUUCAAACCCUUCAAGGCCACAAUAUGUUGGUUGAGCUUUGAGUCUGAAGGGAUAUAUGAUCCUUGGGCUCUUAUUACUGCAUCUUGUUGGUUGACAGAAUUCAUAUUUAUCUGUCUUGUUGUCUUCCGCAGAAGCUUUGGCUAAUGUACAUGUGUAAAGUAGGAAGAGGAAGAGGAUUAUUAAACUCAUCACGAGGGACAUGGAGGGAGAGGGAGAGCGGAGUUUGAGUUAGAGCAGAGUUUGAGUUAUGCUUUUGGAGUAAUAAGGGAGAGGAGAGUUUGAUUGUCAGUUUGUCAUGGAAAAAGGUAGGAAAAUGGGUUUCUUUUAAAUUCUUCUGUUCUUUCCUUCUUUCUUUUCUCCUUUUUCUAAGUCAAUGGUAGCUCCAAAGAGACUAGUCAACUUCAAUAUCUGCCAAUAUCAGAUGCAUGGAGGAACAUGAUGAGACUUGCUGUUUGUGAUAUAGAUUUUAGUGAGAGUUGUGAAAGUAAUUUGUAGGUAAAGAAAUGAGAAAAUUAUGUUUUUAAGAUCAGUAAGUAAUGUUCUUUAGAAAACGGGUAAUUCCGAGCAGCUACCCUCCGCUUACCAUGAUAUAUCAGUGGGAGACUAAGGUCGUGUUUAGGAUCUAUGUGUCUUUUAAUUCACCAUUGUUGUGAGAUGAAAUUAUUAUCUAUUAAGUAAAAGUGGAUGUGUGGUGAUAGCUAGGUGUCUACGAUAUACUUUGGUAAUUGUACUUUAAAUUAAGUUCAGCAGGACCAGAGAGUUCAAACAAUACUCUAGCUCAAUCAGAUAUGCCGCACGCAGCGUUUCAAUAGUUUGAUGAAUGUACAUGAUCACAUGACAAACCUACAUCAUAUUCUGGUCGAUACGAGCAAAAUUGGAAUAUUCACAUCAAACAAUGAAUAUUACUGAAAUUUUUCAACAUAAUGUUAUAGAAUCCCUGGUAGCACGAGGACAAUUUAUUUCUUUUUUACACGUCAUUGCAAAAACUAAGCAUAACUAUCAUUGAAAGAACAUUCCUCAAUCAAUUCAGACACUAACAACUCUGUUGAAGAAUCUGAUUCAAUCUCUCUUCCGGAGAUAUGUCGAGAAGAAGAGAAGAAAGGUUUCGGAGGCAUUUGCAAAUCGUCGAUACUCCCUUCUAACAUUUCCAAAACUUUUGUCAUGGAGGGGCGAUCAGCUGGCUUCACCUGA